UUUUUCCUCCAACCUUUUAGAUUUAACAUCCACUUUUCUUUCAAUAAAGGAUGAAGAUCGGUGAAGAACACCAAGAACACAAACUUUUGAAUCUUGGAGUCUAAGGUUCAAGUUGGUCUCACACUUCAAUCUACACUUUCUCAAGUUCCACCUUUCAACAAAAACUUCAAAAAAAGGUUCUUAGGCCACCUGUUCACAACAACAACAUAAACAUACAUGCUCAAAUCAAGAGUGGAAUCCAACACGAGUAUGUAUUUUGAGGUCACUCUUGAUUUCCAACUUCAUUGAUGAAAAUUCUUUGUUAAGGUAAGUUCUUCCAUCAAAUUCUUUGACUUUCAAUACUUUAAGGGAUCGUUUGGUUUGGAAACAAGUUAUGCUGGGAUAAUUUGUACUGGGAUUAGUUAUCUUGAGAUUAAUUAUGCUGGUAUUAUUUUUUAGUGGUUAUUUGGUUUGGCGGUGCUAAAAAUAGUAUGCAUUGAAUUCUUUUUAAGAAUAGAUAGUUUUCAUAAACAAAUACCAUUAACCUUAUUUAAAUUAAUUAUUUUCCAUCAUAUUAAACCAUACCAAAGAAAUUGAAAUUAUUUCUUUUUUAAUUUUAGUAGUUUCUUUUUCCGAAAAAUACAUGUUAAAAUUUUUUUGUUGAAAUUUAUUAAAUGUGUAUGAAGUUUUAAUAUUUUUUGUUAAAUUAUUCAUUCUGUCAUAAAUUCUAUAAAAUGUUGAUAAUUUCACUUUUUGUUAAAAACAUUCAUCAUCAAAAAAUGUGAAAAAAAAUUUCUCUCAUUUUCCAUUAUUUAAUAUCAUUAAUAUUUGGAGAGUUAAAUUGUAUUUUAAACAAAAAUAAAUUUACAAACAGUUUUAGCUAUAGAUAAAAAUAAUUUUUUAUUGAAUAUUUAACCAUGUACAAAGAUAGAAAGGGAAUGUCAAAAUACUCUAAUUACUUGUUCAUAACAAAUUUGUUAGGAAAAAUAAAAAUUUGAAGCAAGAUUAAUAAACAUUUCUACAACCCUUGAAUUAAUUUUGAAUUUCAUUGUAUAUAUAGUUUUUAUGGUGUCACUAUUAUUUUUCCAUGACUCAUCACUUUUGCUGCAUUUUAAAACUUAUAUAAUUGUUCAAAUUAACCAAAAAAAAAUAAAAAUUUAUAGAGUAAUUAAAAUUUAAAUUAGGAUAAAAUUGACAAAAAAAAUUUGAUGUGAGGACUAUCAAAAUUUCACAUUUUUCUAAUUUUAUCUCUCUCUCUCUCUCUCUAUAUAUAUAUAUAUAUAUAUAUUAAUAAACCCAUUGUUCAAAAUUACCAGAUGGAUGAAAUUUAUAAAGUAAUUAAUGUAUGUAUGUAUGUAUAUAUGAAAAGUGAUAAUUGGAGGUUGAUUUUUUCAUUUAUGGUUUUAUCCCAAGUUAAAUAAUGUUGGGAUUAUUUAUGCCACCUAAAAGGUGGGAUAACUUAUCCUUGUACUAUUUGUUAGUCCCGGGAUAAGUUAUCCCAAACUUGACAACCAAACAAAGCACCCAAAAAUUUAUCCCAGGACUAUUUUUUUAUUUUGGGACUAUUUUUUGAUACCCCACACCAAAUGAACCCUAACUUAUUAGAAUCAUUAGAACAAUCUCUAGUGGGGAUGUGAAUCUUUAAAUUCAGAGUUUUGAAAAAUUUAUAAAUUCUGUUAGUAUCACCUAGAUUUACUUCUAGAUUGUUAAUUAAUGAUUUCUAUCAUGCAUUAGUGAUUCUUAAACAUGAUAUUUGAUUAUUAGGAACCUUAAAUUCAAUAAAAAUAGAUUCUUUAGAUUUGAAAAAAUAUUAAUAGAGAUAGAUUGAGUAUAAUAAAAUUAGUUAAGGUUUAAUGGAACAUGGGUAGUAAUUUAGGCCAUGAAUAAGGAGAGAGUUAGUGAGUUCAAUUCUAAAUUAGUUAUUAAAAGAGUAAUGACUUAAUUACUCUUAUAUAUUUUUAUUUUCUAGAUGAUUGGGCUAAUGAAGGCAUAAAGAGCACCCUUGAUGUGGUUUUCUUGUCCCAAAAUCUUUGAUUGAGGUAGAUUAUAGUUUAAUGUGUACUAAACAUGGAUUAGUUGCAUAUAAUAACUGUAGUUGAUGGAGAUUUCCAUUCUAAGCCAACAGGCACAAUGUUUGGAUCGAUAAAAUAUGAAAUAAUUUAAUAAUGAAAUAGUUGUGAGUUAUUGUAUUUUCUUGGAUAUCUUGAUGGGUAUUAUUAUUUGUAUAAAUUGCUUGAUGAUUUAUAGCAUUUACGUUGUGAAUAUGAAUAAUAAUAGAAGAAUUAGGCAAGCUUCCAAUCUAUAGAUCUAGUCUUUAAUUCCUUAAAAGUGUGAAUCGAUAUUGUGUAUAUUUGAAGUAUGAUAUAUUUUUGCUAGAAGAUAGUUAAGAGGAUUUAUUUUGAUAAGAAAAGGUCAUGGUAUAACCUAAAAAACUAAAAUAAUAUUUUUCUAAGUGCUAUAAAGUAAGAUGUGUAAAGGCGUAUGACUCUAGCUAGAGAUGUAAAUUGAAUAGAAUCGAAUGGUUGAAUAAUCAACAAAAGUGAAUAUUGUCUUGUACUUUGUCAUACCUUUAGUGAAAGGAUUAUUAGUUAGUAACUGGAUUUAUUUAUUUCUAAAAUGAAUAAAAUAGAGUUAGAUUGAUGAAUAAAAUAGGAUGAUGAAUUAGAGGGUAGAUAUCAAUCCUAGUGGAAUAUGCAUUCCAGAAAUGAAUACUUGAUUGAUUGGUCUUUGGACAUAUUUGUUAUUGAUAAAUUGGAUUGAUAAUGCACAUUUGAGUAAGUGGUGAAUUGAGCUUCAAGCAUACUUAUUAUUUCAUGUGUUAGUGGAUAUUUGUUUCUUAAUAAAAAAAAACUUGUUGAUUGUUGACUACGUUUACUUGGUUGUCAUAAUUAUAAGUUGUAUUUCAAUCAUUGUUACUUACAUCUGAUUUUAAUUAGGUGUUAGCAGUUCUUCUUUAGGCACUACUUAUAAUUAUUGAAUGCAUCUUGUAUUUACGUUGAUCGUGUUGAUGAUGAUAUUGUGAUCAUGAUGUUUUUGAUGUUGAGAUGAUAUUAAUGAUGUUUAGUUGAUGAUAGUUGAUAAUAAUAUUUAGAUCACAAUAAUCAUAAUAUUCAGAACAGUAUUGAUGAUAGUGAUGAGAUGAUAUUGAUAAUGGUAUAGAUAUCAUGAUGUUCAUGAUGUCGAUAAUGAUAUUGAUGAUGCUUUUGAGAUGAGAAAGAGAUAAUAUUCACAUAUUUCAUACAUACAUUCAUCAUAUGCAUUUGAAUGUACAUUCAUAUUUAUUUAUAUAUUUUGGUUCCUUGUGUGGAUCAAUUAUUUGAUGAUAUACUAUGGUUUCUUAAAUGGUCCGGUUAUGUUAAUAAUGAUGAUUGUGCAUUAUAGCAACAUGUGAAUGUAAGGUAUGUUCUGAAUUAUGUGUACAUAUUGUUCUCUUGUGUAUAUAGUUAUAUGUUUGAUGUAUAUUAUAGUGCUACUUCUUGCAAUGUUAUUGAUUCUAUAAAUUGCCUCAAUUAUUGCAAUUGAAAUUGUUACUACUAGUAUAAUACAGAGUAAUGAUUGUUAUGUUAGGAGGAUUAAUGAGAGAGAGAAAAAUAUAGGGUUGUUAUAACAAGGUGAGUGCAUAAGCGAUGUGGGCUACAUUAUUCAUGGAAAUGUGCUAGAGAGGCCCUCCUUGAGGAUAAAUUAAUAUUUCUUAAACAAAAUGAAGAUGGUGGGUUGGGAUGUUGUACUAAGAUAAGUGUGUUCAAUUGUUAGACUUGUAUACUUUAAUAAUUUCUUUUUGUUUUCUAUAUGUUAUUAUACAUUCUAACCUUUGCCAGUAGGUAUAUCUACUACUAUGUGUGGUUUUAUGGAUACUACUCUUACUUUAUCUUUUCAGAAAUAUACAAAUGUUGCAUAUCUAGUGAAUUUUUUAUAGGUACACCGGUGAUUAUUCUUCAGCCACUCACAUUAUUGUAGUCAUAUAUGGAUAUUACAUAUUGGUGUCCUGUUUUUAUUUAUUUAGUAUUCUCGUACUGAUAUACAUUAAUUUCUGAGAGGUUGUUAUUUAUUCCAUAAUGUAAUUAAUAAGUUAUUUAAUUUGAAAAGUAAUUUUAUUUUUAUUUAAGGGAUUAUUUAGUUUUAAAACUAUUGAUGUAUGUAUUUCACACAUAGUUGAAUGAUUGGGUGGUAAGGAUUCUCCUAUCUAGGGAAAAAAUGGGUAGGUACAUGAUCAAGGAUUUGGAUCAUGACCUAAUUAAGGUGUAAGUGAAACAUAUUGACUAAUAAUAACUAUAAAGGUUAAAGAAGUUAUAGUUAUCAUAGAGUACAUUUGAUGUAACGAGUUAUGUAUGACCAGUGAGAUUAAAUGUGAAUGGUAGAAGAGAAAUGCAAAUGGUACAAAUUUCUUACUAGUAAUGAAUUAGACAUAACUAACUCAAUGAGAAUAAGAAUGAAAAUACUCAGAAAAUAUGAGAGGGAAAUGCAACAUAAGUGGGUGAAAGUAAUGUUACGAACUAAUUUGUAAAAUAAGUUUUCAUACUUUCUUUUUUGAUUACUAUAUGAUUUUUACAUGAACUAAUCCUUGUCAACCGAUGAUACCUAUCAGUAUGUAUGGUUGUACUGAUACUACUCUUGAUAUAUCCUUUUUGGGGUAUAUUAUGGUUGCAGGAUUAGUUAAACUUUCUUAAGUGAAUUGGAUAGUGAUCUCCAAUAGCUUCUACUCAUUUCAUUCCAACUACAAGAUUUGUGUAAUUUGUUUUGUCUUUUACUACAUUAGAAGCUCUUGCACAUUGCCAAGACUAGGUCCUCAAAUAAAGUGUUUUGAUUUAUCAUUUUAUUCUAAAAUAUCAAAUCAUUUAUCAUAUUUUAAAAUUCUUAAGGGAAAUUAUUAUAACUUGCACAUGUAUUUUGAAAUGGAUGGUAAGAGUUCUGCAAUAUAAGUGUAUUAGAGUAGGUUCCCACACAAUCUGGUUAGUUGGGUUGUAAAAAUUUCUUUUCUCAUAUAGAAUUUAUAUUUGAAUAUAUUAGGAUGCCUAGAAGUUAAUGUAGAAUGUCAAGAAUAUCAUUUAAUUCUUCGAGCUUUGAUUUGACUUGCAGUCUUCUUUCAAGGUAAGUAGAGACAUUCUUUGACUUUUUUAAAGUGUUUACAUGCGAGUUGUGUGUAUUGAGAGUAACAAAGAAAUAUGAGUCCAAUAUAGGUGAGAUGAUAAUCAUCUAUGUAGGUACCAAUGAAUUUAUGAAGGGAAUAAAACUAACCAAUUUACUUGUUUGGGUUAUUUUAAUCUACUUUCUAGCAAGAGUUUGUGGAAUAUGAUUCAAAAUAACUUGUUGAAUAUGCUAUUGGUUGGAAAAAUUUAUUGAGAUUUUAUGGGUAAUAUGAAAUAAAUUAUGUGCCUAUUGGAGGAUAUAAUUUGAGCUAGUUUUCAUUAUUGUCACACUCGUUUGGGGGCUUGUGAAUUUGAACAAAUGACUAAACAACGUAUAAGUGGAACUCAAAUUCACCAUGUACUGAGUAGCUGAUGAUACAAUUCAAGAUAUGCUAGAAAUCCAUUAAUAAUGCUUUGCUUACACUCUUUAAUAAGAAUAGCGGACACUAUCAAUAUAUUUACUUAAGAAAGAGUCGGGGUCGAAUACAUAGGGAACUAUGUGAAUGUUGAUCGAGUAAGUUCAAAAUGAAAGUAACUUGCUAAAUUCAAAUCUGAGAUACAAAUAAUUUGGGUUUUUUUUUGAAAGUUUUCAAAAAUAUUACAAUUUUUGUACUUUUAGAAUACUAACUCGAGGCUAAAAAUAAUUGGAGUGUAAUCAAUUAGGAGCGGAUCUUGGGGUUAUUCCAUUCCAGGUGCGAUCUUAUACAUGAGUAAUUGAAAAUUUAUCCAAAUUUAGAUAGUACUCAUGGGUAGGCUAGAUUUACAGGUAUUGGUGUAAAUUUUCAAUAAAAUACCAAAUUUUACUCAUAGAUUUUUCCAAACACCUUACAACUAUGUCAAAUUGACCAGUCCACUACCUCAAUUAACACCAUUAUUUCUAAAAUGAUGCUUUUAAGUGAGCUAACCCAAUUAACAUCCUUAUUUCUAAUAUGAUGAUAAUUAACAAGAUAACUCAAGUUAUUGAUCACUAUUUUUCUUCACUCAUACCCUCUCUUUCAAAGAUGAUAUGGGAGUCAAAGAAAUUGGGGUUUUUCAACUUGAAUUCUUAGUGCAAACAUGAAACAAAAGCAAAACCCAUAACAAAUAGCUAAAUAGGUAGAUAAAUAAAUAACACCCAUGCACUAAUGACAAGCUGUUCAGACAUAAAUCCAAGAGGAAGUAUUAGCUACUCAUAGAGAUAGAAAGUAAGGAUAUACCAAAAUUUAUACCAAUAAGAUAAAGAGAAUGUAAAUUCAGACUCUAAAUUCCAAUAAAUAUUCAAUGGAAAUAUCUAAUCCUUCUCUUAGGAAUUAAUCUAAUGUCUUCUUAGCUCAAGAAUAGUUCAAUAUUGUUCCAAAUCUAAAAGAUGUUAAAAGGAUGGAAUAUAGGAUGAAAGAUUGUUAGAUAAUUAAAAUGAGAUAAAAACCCCUAUUUAAGCCCCAAUUCCACAUUUACCAAAUAUUACAAAAAUGUCAGCUUGCUCUUGAUUUACUUGAGCAAAUCCAUAGCAGAUAAAGAGCAGAUGAAAAGCACACCCAAAGAUGAUGCGAAGCGGAUGCAAAGUAGAUGAAUAUUUUCUUUCAUAUUUGACCUCUUGUUGCCUUGAACGACUUGAUCAUUAUUCCAUUAACCUUUACCUCUACAAAUGAGCAUUAAGUGUGAGAUUAACAUUAAAUCAUGGAAAAACAUGAUAAUCUAAUCUUAAAAAAUGCUACAAAUUUGUCAAAUUGAUGAGUCAUCAACCCCCCAAACUUAAACUAUUACUUGUCCUCAAUUAACAUAGAAAAAAUCAAUGAGAUAGUGUAUUUAACUCCAAUCCAAAAAAAAUGAAAGCUAUAAUAUAGGACUAAGAUAACAAAGCUCUAAAAAGACUUCCCAAAGAUGUCAUGGCAACAAGUAAGCCAAAAAUUUUAAUAAGCGCAUAGCUAUGAAGCGAGGAUACUAGUUCAUACCAAAUGAAAUAUUCAAAUUAACAUAUCAUAUCAAGAGGUGACACAAAAUCUUCAAUGAUUAUCUUAAUUUUCAGAAUGUAACUUACCUUGACCAUUUACACAAACUGAUAGUAAGACUUUACCGUCUACCCUAAAGUAUCGAUGUCGUUCACAUGCACAAGUUAUCUCCACACACACAAGAGAUUUACAUUCUUAAAUAAGCUUAAAUAAUGAAAUAAUUUACCCUCACUCUCCUAAAGAAAUUCAAGUACAAUGAGUAGAACCAUAGGUUUGUCCUUUGUGUUUUUCGCCACUAAUGUAGACUUACUUAGUUUGGAAUCACCAUGAUCUUUCGGGUCUAGAUGAAGGUUUCAGGUACAACAAGGAAUAUAUAUGGAUAAAGUAACUAAAAGACCUCCUUAAACUCAAUCCUUAUCCCCUUCUACCCCAAAAUUUUAAAGCUAUCCACCUUACUCUCCAUCCAAUCAUUUCCUAUAUUUUCCUUAACCUUUUGAAUAACAUUUACCAAAUAAUUCAAAUCCAUCAUUUUUUUCUUCACUUCUUGUAAUUUUUUUUAUUUUAAGAGACUUUAUAACUUUAAACUCUUCUUAGCCCCCCAUUUGUCUCAUUUUUUCCACAUUUAAUAGGGUAGGUUAUAUAACAUUAUCAUCAUUUAUGUCUCUUGUCUCUUCAGCACACGAUUUGACCACCUUGCACAUACCUUUCUUUUGUCAUCUUAGCACAUCACAUUCACCUCAUAAACUUGGAGUUCGAACCACCCUCACAUAGAUCUCACAAAAACACUAACCACCUUAAAGAGAAUGUUAAUUGAAACUUUAAAUUCCAAUAAAUAUUCAAUGAAAAUUGCUAAUUCUUCUCUUAGGAAUUACUCGAAUGUUUUCUUAGCUCAAAAAUAGUUCAAUAUUGUUCCAAAUCUAAAAGAUGUUACAAGGAUGAAAGAUUGUUAGAUAAUGAAAAUGAGCAAAAAAUCCUAGUUAAGUCCUAUUCCACAUUUUCCAAAUAUUAGAAAAAUGUAACCUUGCUUUUGAUCUACUUGAAUAGAUCCAAAGAAGAUGGCGAGCGAAUAGAAAGCAUAUCCAAAGCGGAUGCAAAGUAGUUGGCUUUAUUCUUUCACAUUUGACCUCUAAUUGGCUUGAACGGCUUGCCCAUGUUCCUUUUUUUAAACCUUAACUAUACCAAUGAGCAUUAAGUGUAAAAUUAACAUCAAAUCAAUAAAAAGGCAUGAUAAUCUAUAUAUUCAAUAAGAAGGGGUGAAUUGAAAAGUUUCUGUGAGUCAGCUAUUGACUCAACAUAAUCAACUUACCUACAGAUCAGUACACUUCACAAAAUAGAUUAGAUUUAAAUAAAUGAACAGGUAAAUACUCAACUUUAAAGUACAGACAUGAAAAUUUAUCCUAGUUUUGAACACCAAUGUGGUUCCUACUUCCCUUCCACAUAGGUUUUAAGGUUUUCUUAGAUCUUUCAAAGUCGGGGUUGAGUACAAUGAUGUGAAAAAAGUUUUAAAGACUUCUUCUACUCUUCAGAUCUUGUGACACAACUUCUGUUUGUAUUACAAAGUUGACUAAAUCCUACUCUUUAUAUAACUAUUGUGAACUAAGUAGUCCAAAGCUUUGUAAGAAUUAUAUUUAGACAAUUUGAGAUACUUUCAUGAAGUUGCAUGAUUGAUUCGAUCUUCAAUCCUCUUUUUUAUAUUCUUCAUCCUCAUCCAUUCAUAAGGAAACCCAAGCUAUUUGAUCCAAAUCAAGGAUUUGAUUUGAUUCUUUGAUUAUGGAAUGUUACCAUUCAAUAUGGUAAUAUUAGUUAUGUCCACACACGGUACUUAUACACGUCUGUAUUAGAUACAUCCAUGAUCUUUUUUCUUUUUGCUCCUAUCAGGUUGUUGUUGGUAUCUUGCUUUUCUUUGUGAGAUUUUCUUGGAGAUCUUAAAUUUAUUCCAUAUGAUUGAUAUUAUUCUAAGUUUAGCACCAUCCAUCUUGCUGUUGGAUGAUUGCGAGAUAUUCUUGCUUAUCUUGAAUUGAUUCCUUAGAGAUUCUACAUCUUUGAUGUUUCUUAAAUAUCAUUUUCAUCAAUCAUUAGAGAUAUUCAUUAUGCUACAAAUGUAUACUCAUUAGUUUGUUAUUUUUAAAAUAUAGUUCGGGAGUAUAGAAGGGUAACAAUCUCCUCCUUUUUGAUAAUGACAAACAAGCAUUAACGAUAAGUUGACUUCCCUGUCACAGUAGUGGGCUUGCUCCUCUAACUUGUAGGUACUUCCAAUGUUUUUCUAUUCCUUGAGAAUUAGUCGACUUGUUCCUAUUGAUAGUUGACUUGUUCCCCCUGACUUGUAGGUUCAUAUAUUUCUCCCCCCUUUGGUAUAAUAAAUAAAAACAAUAUAGAAAUAAUAAUAGUGACAUAUAUCAUAGAGAUAAUCUAAUUAAGUACCAAGGUCUAGACAAAAACAAGGAAAGGUGGCAAAUAGUAUGUUAAAAAUAUCAUCUUAAAACCCAUCAAAAAACAAGAGAUAGGACGCCUUUUUGAAUAAAAAGGUCAUUAUUCACUGCUAAGCUCAGAAGUAAGUUAAGGUAUUAUGCAUGUUAUGACAAAAUUUGUCAUAGGAUUUAUCAACGUUUUUAAAUAAAAAAGAGUAGGAGUUUAUAUUGAAAAUAGCAAGAUCAUCAUUGGAGGAGUUAACUUAGGACAUAAGAGAGUCCAUGUGGGAGAACACUCAACUAAACAGCUUGAUGCCCUUCUGUUUGAAUAAAUCAAUAUCCAAUCAGACAAUGCCUAUGCCAGGGAUUGUACUCUUCCCAAGGACAACAUUAGAAGUCAACUCAUAAACCAAAUGGAUACCUUUCUCAACAGCUUUAAAGCGAUCUUUGAUUUACUCUAAUUCCUUAAACACAGUAAUCAUGGGGUUAGAAACAGAAUUUCUUACCUUAAGGAGUUCAAAUUUUUCUUGGGAAGAAUACUUCUUGCACAAUUCAUUAUUAACCAAAACAUAUCCCAUGGUGAAAAAAGUUUUGGAGUCUUAAGUAGCAACGACUUCCACUGGGGGUAAGCAGAGAGAUUAACUAAGUAGUAUAAGAUAAUCCAAGAAAUUAACAUGCCAUAUGGUAAAUUAGCAGAGGCAUGAACUUUCGCUGCACUUUAAAGCAUAUACUCACGAAUCAAGGUUUUCCCAAUUUGUCUUAUGCUUCUUAACCAGACAGUCCAUAAAAAAUACAUCACAACAAAUGACGUUCCUGAGGCAUCCUUUCCUUGGAAUCACUGUGGUAGCCAUUAUGUGGUCCAUGAUGCAAUACUUGAAACACUAGGAUAGAGGACCAAAAUUGGAUGAUGUUGUGUCUGGGUCAGACAUAAUCCUUAUUUCUUUAUCAAAACUAACCAAAAAGUCUUCAGGCUACGUACUAUUCAUGAAAUAAAUCACACCAGAAAAUUUUAUGGAAAAAAACUUCUUGAACUAAAAGUUGUUCAGAAUUAUUCUUGUUCCAAGCAUAAGAGUAUCAAGUUCACCACUAUUAGGAGAGAGAUGGAGAUUUUCAUAAAAUAUGUGGAUUGGAUAAUCAUAAGCCUCAACUCCACAGAUAGGAAAAAUUAAGGACAAAUCUUGAAACAUAGAGAACUGAAUGACAUUAUAGAAAACAUCUUUAAAUUGAUGGAGAUUAAUGAUGCGACUGGGUAUAAUGGAGCUAUUUUUUAUCAUAGAAAAUUUCUUUUCGAGAGCUUGUCAAGAACUUGUACAUGUCAUUAAGAGGGAGGGAAUAUAGAGAGGUAGUUUGUGGCUUCUUCGAUGAGAGUUCUAGGAUGGGAGUGGUACAAUAUAUUUUGAUAAGAGUGGACUAUUUAGAAUCUGACAAGGAUUCAUUAGAGGACUCAGAGAGGAGAACAAGGCUAUCAGAGAGUGCUUUAGGAAGGGAUUUUGAAACAUUAGCCAUGGAAUGAGUUUUGGUCAUGGGAUAAGGGUGGAGAUAGAUUUUAAAAAUACAAAAAGGGAGAAGAAAGGAUAGGUAAGUGAACAGAGGGAGAGAGUGGAUAGUGUAGGGACUGUUGGGAAAGUUAAUAGAGGGGAAGGAAAAAGGGUAUGAAGAGAAAAGGUGACUAGCAGAGUGAAAGGAUGCUAGAAGAGUGUGUUGGGAAGGUAAAGGGGUUCUGAAGCGGAAAGGGUGGCAUGAAAGAUGGUAAUAAUAAUGAUGAGUUCCUUUAUUUUUGAAAAUGAAUUUUUGAUUAAAAGAUCUGAAGAGAAAAUUGGAGUAAGUAGAGUAAGUAGAAAAUUGGAGUAAGUAGAUUUGAAAACCAAUGAUAAGUUCCUAUGAAAUAUGAAUUAAUUUUUUCAUGAUAGUUAGAUGAGACUCUUUAGGAGUCGAUUGGAACCAGACACACUUACAUACGUUGAACAUAAUGUUUGGUCAACUAGUAGUGAAGUAAAGUAGUGAUCCAAUAGUUCCCCUGUACAUUUUUUUAUCAACAUCUUUUUAAUAUGAAUCUGAAUAAACACUCGUGGAUGGGCUCAUAAGUGUUCCAUAUGCCAUUCUUUUUCUGUGCCAAAAUUUUUAACGAGUUCCUUCAUGUAUUUAGCUUGACUGAUGAAAGUACCUUUGGUAGUUUGCUUGAUUUGUAGUCCAAAGAAAAAUGUGAGCUCUCCCAUGAGACUCUUUUCAAAUUCUCCUUUCAUCAAGUUUGCAAGAUUCUCACAGAGAGAUAUGUUAGGAUUUCUUAUUGAGAGUAGCCUUGAGCUGCAAGUCUGGACUUAUUUUUUAUAACCUUAACUUCUCCAUUUAAUUUGUUUCUAUAGACCCAUCUAGUUUUAAUUACUAAGCUGUUCUUAGGUCUGUUGACUAAAUUUCAAACUUGACUUCGUUCGAAUUGGUCCAACUCUUUCUUCAUGGCAGUGCCUCAUUGGAUUUGUUUUAUUUGAUUUAAGAUACAAGAGCAACAAAUGCUUGUUUACUAUGAUGCCCUUACCUGUACCCUAUUAUUUAGAUUUUUGAUAAUGAGUUCAUUUGGAUAAAUAGCAUCAUGUUUCCAUUCUCUUUGAACACUUCAUUUGACUAUUUAUGUUCUGGGUGUCGACUUUGGAAGAGAUGUAGUCAACUCGUCUUACAUAGGCUUGGGAAUUGUGCCAGUAUUGGCUUUAGACUAUGGAUCACUCUCCCCCAUCACUUCGUGGAUUGAAUUUUUGCAAGUUAUUCUUAUCGUUGUUAUGGAUGAAGUAUUUUUAUCCAAUAGGAUAAAAGUAGCUGAUAUUUGGUUUCUUUUCUCUUCACAGCUCAUAAGGCAUCUUUCUUAGAAUAGGUCUAAUGUGGUAUCUAUUGAUGAUAUAACAUGUUGUGCUUACUCCCUUUGCUCAAAAGUGAUUUGGGUGUUUGUUUUCUAAUAACAUUGUCCUAGCCAUUUCCCAGAGAGAUCGAAUCUUUCACUAGACCACACAAUUUUGUUUAGAAGACCGAGGUGAUGAGAAGUUCAGAGAGUAUCGGUUCUGAGCAUAAUAUUCCUCAAAUGCCUUAUUUUUAAAUUCUUCUCUAUGAUCGCUAUGGACAUAGGUGAUGACGUGUCUAGCUUCUCUCUAUACUUUUCUACAAAAGAUAUCAAAGUUUAUGAAAGCCUCAUAUUUAUGAGCAAGAAACAUUACCCAAGUAAAAUGAGAAUAAUUAUUAACAAUAACAAAAAAUAUCUUUUUCCACCAAUAAUCAUAGUCUUGAUGGGGCCAAACAGAUCUAUGUGGAUUUUUUGAAGGGGUUUAGUAGUAGACACAAUGUCCUUUACUUUGAAUGAUGUUUGGGUCUAUUUACCUAGGUUGCAGGCAUCACAUUUGUGAUCCUUUUCAAACAUGAGUUUUGGUUGACCUUUCACCAAUUCUAGUCUAGAUAAUUUCUCAAUGAUAUGCAUACUGGAAUGCCUAAACUUUCUGUGCAACAACAAAGUUUCAUUGGCUUGCAGAGUGAGACAGGUUAUGAUAAAAAAAUUAGGACUAUUUAUGCAACAUCCCAAGUCUGUACCUCAGAUGUUACACGACGCUUACGACCACAAAGGACAACAAGCUAACCCUUGACUGAUAUCUGCUGUGAGUAAUAAAACAUGAUACUAUAAUAAAUAUGGAAAAAUAUGUUGAUAUGCGAUAAGGUUCAAAAUCUAUAAAUACUAAUAAAGUGUAUCAACUGAAAUAACAAUCUGUAAAAUGGAACACUGUCUAAAAACUACUCUGAAAAGCCUCUAACUGAAACUGUCUGAAAGUGGAGUUGAUGGGACAAUCCCCUAACAAACUCCAUCUAUUGAAAUAAUUAGUCUACUAAAAUAAUUAAAUAAAAGAAUAUCUUCAAAUAAAGAGGACUCACUGCUAAUCUACUGUAGCUGUCUGAAUCUAAAUCUAUCUAUGCACAGUGGAGAACUUGAGCAUCCGAACCUAUGAUAUGAGACAUCAUAGCGCAAACAAAGAGUAUGUAUCAGUACGUGGAAUGUACUGGUAUGCUAGAUUAGGUAAGGCUGAAUGCAAGGGUUUGUAUGAAUGAACAAUAACUGACUGUAUGAUAUAGAGUAACUGAACAUGAGAGUACAUGGAUAACUGAUACUACUGUAAAUCCUGAGUAUGCACUAAUGUGCAUAUAAAUUAAUACUAUGACGAAUCUUGUCUAAAGCUAAGUCCUGAGUUCUAAUACUGAGUAAUGGAUAUCUGAAGUUACUGGUAACUUAGUUACUAAUACUAAUUGACUGUAUCUAACAGUCCUGAUUUUGUAGAAUUAAAGUGAGUUGUAUUCUGGAGAUUAAAACUGAGACUGUGGGAGGUAAUCAUCUAACCGCAUGCCCCAAAUAAGCUAAGAUAACUGAGUUGGGGUCCAACCUGUGACCCCAUUUAAAAGGGUGUUAGCACUAUGCCAUGGGUAAAGGCACUGAAAAGUUACCCUCAUCUGGUAGGUACUCUAAUAAGAACGGUGAAACCUUUAUCUGAAAGGUCAAAACACCUCAUUAACCAUCAACUGGUAGGUUUGAUGUCUCAACCUACGUUGGCUACGUAGUUCUGGAAUGCAAAGAUUGCUUCUAAGGAUCAUACCCUUUACUGGCAGGUAAGCUUCCAUCCUUGGGUUAGCUCGGUACUGAAUCCUACUCCCAACUAAAAUACACUGAACUUAGUAUACUAAACUGGACAGGACUAAAUACUGAGUUUUUCUCUAUUUUUUAACCGACUGGGUUCUAUUGAGUUCUGUAACUGACUGAAAGUACUGCAUAUCAUGAAUGACUGAGAUUCUGUAAUGGACACUAGCUCAAGGUAAACUGCUAAAUUUUUGGGUAUUAAAUACCCCCAGGACUCGAUAGCUUGAAAAAUAAAUAAUAAUAUACUCUUGACAAUCAUAACAAUGUAUACUUGUCCUUAGUUCACUCAUAAAGGCAUUUAAUCAAACACUUGCAAUGCAUCUACUUAUACAUGAAUGGGGAAUACAUGCUAUCAUGCUAUAAUGAAACUAUCUCAUUCACAUAGGCAUUUUAUCAAUCACAUAGGGAACAUGCGUAGGUUAUACAAUAAUCAAAACAUAUAGUUAUCAUGGCUACAUCAAUCAACUUGCAAAUUGAAGGGUUUAUCAUGAAGAUCAUAUAAUUCCACAUGUACAAUGAUUUAUUUCAUAAAAUAAUGUAAUUUAAUCGUGAAGUAAAAUCCAAUAAUAACAUAAACAUUAAUACAAUUCAAUUCAAGCAUGAAAGUUCAUAAUUCAACAAUCUUGUAUUUUUAAAGUGGAUUCGUGGACUUUAUGGGUGAAAUAAAACCAUAGAUGAACACCUAACAUACCUUGGAUUGUUAAUUCUUGAAGGUUCUUGGAGAGACUCUUGAUUUUUACUCUUGUUUGUUGAAGCUAGGGUUUAGCCCUUUUAGAGAAAGAAUGACUUAAUCUUUGAAUAGAGUGAAUAAAUGAUGAGAUAAUGGGUUAUUUAGCGGUAAAUUUUAUAUAUAGACUAAUUAGGGAAAUGGAAAAAAUCCCCAUUUACCCUUGAGAGUGACUUAUGAAUUCAUAAUGGAAAACUUAAAUUUGGGCCCUGGGGCAACGCGCCGCUAUCGUACUAAGCCACUAGAAAAUGACAACUAGGAAUGUGGCUAGUGGUGUGAUGCGGUGGAAUUAUGUUGCAAUACUGGAUGGGACCUGGACGCUCGGCGUGAUACGGUACAAUCGCGUUGGUUCACUAGAAAUUGAUAAAUAUGAAAAUAAUCUUUGGCGCGAUCCGCCGACAAUGUGGUACCUCACCGGAAAUUGACAAUUGCCAUUUUGGCUUACUCUGUGACACACUACUGUCCUGAAUUAUGCUGUUUAACGAUAGAAACUUAAAAUAGCCAUAACUUCUUACCCGAUUAUCAGAUUUAGGAAAAUUUUAUAUCAUUGGAAAGCUAAUUCAAUGUCCUACACAAUGGCAAACUCUAAACUAUAAAAUACAGAGCGUUUAAAAUUUUUUAUAUUGGAUAAAUCAUGAACUAAGAGUUAUGUUAAGCUUGAGAAAUACAGGGUAUUACAAUUUAAGACAUAAAUAUUAUGAACACGUUCAUCAAUGAGAGAGAUAUCUCUCUUAUCAAGUUUCAUGGAACAGCUUUCAGCUUUGAAGGAGACCUAAAAACCAGCAUCACAUAGUUGACUAAUACUGAAUAGUUUGUGUUUGAGGCUAUCUAUGAGAUAUACUUUAAUAAGAUCACAUUAGGAGUUGAGCUUUACUAAGCCAAAUCGUAUGAUGUUUCCUCUAGAAUUAUAACAAAAUCUUACUAUUAUCCCUUCUAUUUUCUUUAGAUCAUAAAAGUUUUAUUUUUUCUGGUCAUAUGUGUGGAUCAUUAGCUUUCAAUUACCAAUAUUUCCUUUUUACAGAUUUUAUGGGCAUAUUCAUGAAAAAUAAAAAAAAUUAUUUUAUUUAGGUACCUAAGUGAUCUUGGGUCUUUGAAGGUUGGAUGUGCUCCCUUUAGGCCUCCAAACCCUUACACUUUUAGGUUUUUGCUUGCAGUUGUAGGAUUUGUAUCAUUUCUUUCUAUAAAUAUAACAGAUAGGUACUCACGAGGAGAAAGAGGUGUUUGCUGAUUUAAACAAUUCUGAUGAGGAAUUUGAGUUGUUUUUAAAAUAAUCUGAUCUCAUAAAACUGUGACUUGGUGAUUUUUUAAUUCUCCUCAAUGGAAUAUUUGCAUAAUCAAGCUUUUCUUGAAGCAAGUCAAUUUCAAUUUGACAUGCUUCAAUUUCAACUUGACAGUUUCUUCAUUCCACUUUAAGUUUUUGUUUAAGUUGAGUUUUCCAACUUUUCUUCUCUUGGGCGAGUUUAUUAUAUUUAUCUAUAACUUUUUGAAGCUCAUCAAUUAUUAUAUAUAAGUUAGAUUCAAGAACAUUACAACUAUUACUUUCUUACAAUCUGACCUCGCUAGAUUCACCUUUUGCUAUGAAGCACAUGUUGACUGCUUCUUUCUCAUCUUCAAUUUCAUCUUCAUCACUCCAAGCUCCAAUAUUUUGAUUCUUUAUAGAUGAUUUUUUUUAAUUCUGGACAAUUUUGUUUAAAAUGGAUAGGCCUUCCACAGUGAUAACAAAGAUCAUCAUUUCUAGUGGAAUCAUUAUUUUUGGCUCCUUAGGAUCUUUGCUAUCUUUGUCUCAUGAUUUUACUUACUCCUCAAUUUACAAGAGGAUUUCUUAGAUAUUGGCUUCUUCAAGAAAUUCCUUCUUUUCAGUUGGUGUGGCAUUGAAGGCUACUAGUUUCUUCUUUUCCAACUUGUGGUACCUGUUGAUAUAAUUUUAUUCAUAUGCAUUCAGAUUAACUUGUAGCUCAUCAUAUGUCAUAUUGUGAAGAUCUCCAUCUUCCAGGCAUCCUUAAUUUCUUAAACUUUAGGGAUACUUCUGACAAGAUUUUAGACUUGCAGGCUAUGUUUAUAGAUCAUCUCUAAUAAUUUCAGCUCGCAUAUGAUUUUUCUAAAUCUGGCAAACAUUGUUUCAAUGUUCUCAUUUUCUUCCAUCUUGAACAACUUGUAUUCAUUUACUAAGGCAACAAUCUUUGACUUAUUGACUUUUCAGGUUCCUUCAUAGGUUACCACUAAUUUUCCCACAUUUCUUUUUAAUUUUUUCAUGUUGAUAUGUUAUCAUAUUUUUCUCCACUAACUACACAAAAAAGUAAGUUUACAACACAUGCAAAGUUUGGAUUACCUCCUGUUGUUAUUUGGUGACCUCGAAGCUUUCAAGGUAUUCUAUAUCAGUACUACUUGAUUCUUUGUCCUUGUCAUUCUGCUUCUUCUUAAGUCAUGGAAUUGGUUUUGGUCCCUCCUUAAUGACAAUCCAUGCCUGGAAGUUAUUUUUUUUACGAAGAUUCUAAAUCUGUUCUUCCAAUAUGAGUAGUGUUAUCCAUUGAAGAAUGAUGGUCUUGUGGAGAAAUAACCAUCUUGAAGAAGAGAACCGGGAAUUUGAUAGUUUGCGAUUUGAUCUUUGCUCAAGUGUAGUUAAGCAACAUUGAUGGUGAGACCUUCUCGGAUACAAAUUGAAAGUCAUGAAGGGGGUGUGUAUUGAAUAUUUUCCAUGAUUUAACUCUUGACUCUUCACAGUUGACUUACCAACAGAUUAGUACACUUCACAAAACAGAUUACAUUGAAAUAAAUGAACAAGUAAAUAAUCAACUUUAAGGUAAAGACACGAAGAUUUAUCCUAGUUCGGAGCACUAAUGUGGUGCCUACUACCAGUCCCCUUAGGUUUCAAUAUAUUCUUAGAUCUUUCAAAGUAGGGGUUGAGUACAAUGAUGAGAAACAAGUUCUGAAGACAUAUUUUAUUCUUCAGAUCUUGUGACACAACUAUAGUUUGUAUUUCAAAGUAGAUUUUAUCCUACACUUUAUAUAACUAUUGUAAACAAAGAAGUACUAAGCUUUGUGAGACUAAUAUUAAGACACUUUAAGAUUCUUCCUUGAGGUUGUCUGAGUGCUUCGAUCAUCAAUCCUCUUUUUUAUAUUAUUCAGUCACUUCUCUUCGUAAGGAAACCAUAUUUCGUCCCAAUCAAGGAUUCGAUUUGAUUCCUUGAUUGAGGAAUGUUAGCGUUUAGUAUGCCCAUAUUAGAUAUGUCCAUAUACGAUACUUAUACAUGUCUAGAUCAGAUACAUUCAUGAUGUUCUGUCCUUUUGCUACUGUCCGGUUGUUGUUGGAUGCUUGCUUUCAUUUGCAAGAUUUUCUUGGAGAACUUUAAUUGAUUCUGUAUGAUUGAUAUUGUUCCAAGUUUAGUGCUAACCAUUUUGCUAUUGGAUGCUUGUGAGAUAUUCUUAGGUAUCUCGAAUUGAUUCCUUAGAGAUUAUUUAUUAUUGGUGUAUCUUGAAUCUCCUCUCCUUCCAUCAUUAGAGAUCUACAAUAUCCUGAAAAUAUCUACUCAUUAGUUUGUCAUUUUUAAAAUAUAGACCGUAAGUAUAAGAAGCUAACAAAUCUAUGCUUAAAAAGUUCUAGAAAGUCAUGAAAUUGAUGACUCAUCAGUCACAAAAAAACUUACAAAGGUAUUUUAGUACUUAAAAAGAAAGACACCAAUAAUAUCAAUACAGCCCCCACUCAGUCAUCAAGUCUACAAUAAUCACUCAAUUCAGAAAUAAUAAUAAAAAAAACCCAAUAUUGUCAUGACUGAAAAUGCGAGUUAAUAAUGGCACCUACCCUUACAUAUCUUUGUUAUGUAAGCCCAACACCAACAGAGAAAUAUAUGAGGAAAAUAAGUAAAUAAGAGGAAAUAAUACUAGACAUUAGAAUAAAUUCAAAACUAUGACAUCAAGAAAAUCUCAGAAAUAUACAUCUCACAAUCCUAUAGAAACUCAUGUCAUGAUUAAUGAACAACUCUAACUAUCAUCAGAAUAUGUAGUACAAAUAUAUAUAUGUCUCAUAAUUGAUACAAAGAUCGGAAAUCUAGAAUACGCUUGGGACAAAGAACUCACCAUGACUUUGAAAUGCUCCUGACUCCGCAUCAAUAAGGAUAUAUGGGUAACAUUUUAAUUAGGAUCUGCACCAAAAAGGUACAUAAAAUAGGAGUGUGUAUGACUCACUUGUACAUAGUAUAUAUCAUAGACCUACCAAUAAAAGUAAAUAACUAUUCAAAUAAGGAAAACUACGAGUAACGCUUCCAACUACUUACUGAAAAGUCUCAACUACUUAAGCUAUACAAGCUCCUAACAAUCCAAUUAUAUAAUUGUAACGCCCUAAUUUUCCAAACCGGGAUGCUACAUGGUGCUCAUGACCUCGAAGGACCGCAAGCUAACCCAUGAUAGAUAUCUGUACCUGUACACUGCAUAAUAUAUAAAUAUAAAUGUAGAAAGCUGGCAAAAACUUGCCAUAAGGUUCAAAACAUCUAAAAAUACUCAAAACUGAAAACUGAAUACUAAUACAUCUGUCUAAAAAGCCUCUAACUAUCUAAACUAUGGAGUUAAUGGGACAUGUCCCCAACUAACUCCAUCAACUAAAAAUAAUCUAAAUCUAAUGAGAUAGUAAAAAUAAGGGUCAUCCUCGAAUAAAGAGGAUUCAUUGUUACGUCUACUGGUGCAAACUAGAUCUGGACUGCUAAGAGUGCUCUAGGGCUCAUGCUUCUAAACAAAUGGCGUCAAAUAAAACACCAUAUUACAAAUACGUCAGUACAGAAAUGUACUGAGUAUGCAAAUGAGGUAAGGCUAAAUGCAAGGGCUUAUGCAUGAACAAUAACUAACUGAAUGGUAUGAAAGAGCUGGAUUAGCAUACAUAGAGAAUUUGUAACUACUUAACAUCCUAGGCAUAAUGUGACUGAGCAUACUGGGACAGAAUCUGAUAACUUAUACUAAAUAUACCGUUAAUCUGAGGUUUUUGAACAUCGUUAGAUUAUACGUAUCUGAAGCUACUGAAACUGAUAUCUAUACUUAUUAAUACUGAUAAACUAGAUGACUGAGUCUACCGAUAACUAAUAUUAACUGGCUGAAUCUAAGAUCAAACCUAUCUAUCGGGAUGAUCUAUAAAUCUUCUAAUAAUGAUUAAGAUUGACUAGGCUUGAUAUUUAGCUAACUAACGGUUGAUCUUUGGAUCUGAUAUUAAGAAUACCCAAUUGAAUCUAAGACUGAGAUCAAGCCUAUCUGAUGGGUGACCUGUGUUGGUACUGAUACUCAAUAAAUUUAUGUGAGACCAAGCCUAUCUAGCGGGUGGUCUAUGAAUCUAUGGAACUAUCUGAGUUUCUCACUGAGAUUGAUGACUGUAUCUGACAGUCCUAAUUUCUGAAGGAAACUGACAAAACAUGACUUCUUGAAUUCACGACUAACAUCAACGUCAUAGCAUAUAUUCAAGUAUACAUGAUUGAGGACUUCAUACUAACAUAUAACAGUUCAUUCAGGAAGGGAUGCACAAUGUAACGCCCCGGAAAAUGGGUCUCGGAGCGUCACACGGUGCUUGAGGCUACGAGUAGCCCCAAGCUAACCCUUUGAGCCAUUUUUAUUCAGUUCAACACAAAUCAAUGGGGUUUUCAUAAAUAACCCUCAAAUAUCAACAGAGUAAUCAUCAUCCAAGGAUAAAAGAAUUUCAGAAAGAUAACAAAAUACGACUUAAUAGUCAACUCCCAACAUCUAUACUAGUCUGACAAACCUCGAAGAAAAUCAAUAAAACCAACGACCAUUGAGACAUGCCCCAACUGACACAUACUUAGUCAUCAAAUGUAAGAAAUUUCGUGAAACUAACAUCAGACAUCACAUCCUCAGAAUAUGAGGACUCACCACAACAGAGAAUGUAGAACAGUGUGCCCGAAGAAUCACUGUUGAACCUGGAACUGAGCACCUGAACCUACAUUCUAAGAAAAUGCAGCCGACAUUCGAAGAUGUAGGUCAGUAUCAUGGAAAGGAGCCGAGUAUAUGGGGGUGUAUGCAGUUUGUAUAAACAUCAUCAUCAUAAAUAUUUAGAAGAAAUACGCAGGAUGUAUGAAAGACUCAUGUAGCCCGAAGAAAAUCAUCAUAAUCAUGAGAGGAUGAAAUAAGUACAAUAACACAUGUGAGUCAUCAUAGUAUUUGUCAAUCACUUUCAGUUCAUCAAGAAUAUCAAUUCUCAUAAUGUAAAUAUCAUUUAAAUCUUUCGAAAGAAUAACUUUCACAAUUCCACUUUUACAUCACUUCGCCAUUCACCAUAGACAAAAGGAAACACACACACUGGGAGAUCCUAUAACUGACAUAAACCAUGUGAGCUACAUGGAGUCCAACAUACAACCCACGUUGGGGAGAGCCGUCCUAUCCUUGCCAUCGGAGUAGUACUAUCAAUAUCAAAUCCACACAAACUAGUGAUCACUAUAUAAAUCAGCCUCAGGGUCACUCCUAUAAGGGCACGUAGUUCUAUGGAAGUAAGAUCGCUUUACACCUCCCACUCGGUGCUAAAGAUUUCUCCCGAACUUAGCUUAGAUCAUUUUAAAGAUAAUCUACAAGAAAAUAAUUUCAGUAAUAUAUAAAUAUACAUCGGGAGCCAUCAUGCUUCCCAUCUAUCAAAAUCAACCACGUUGUGGAUUUCUUUCACACUCAAGUGCAAAACAACUCCAUUAAGACCAAAAGGUCAAAUCAUUCAAAAUAUCUCAAAUAUUCAACAUCAACGUGCUUAUAACACACACUUUAUCAAAAAAACAUAAUUUCUAAUGGGGAUUCACGACCCAAAUAUAAAAAUCAUGAUAAAUAUCAUUCGAAAUUCAUGCUUUAUAUCUCCACACAUGUAAAUUCAUCUUUCAGAAUCAUAAACAUCAAUAUUUCAUAAUAAUCAUCAUAAGGUAUGAGUUCAUGCUUCAAAUUCGUAAAAAUCAAAUAAAAAUCAUGCCUUUGUAAAGAAAAUUACUUUUGGGCAUAGGAACGAAAGAGAGUUCUUGUUGAAAAACCCCAUAUACCUUGAAUGAUGAAAUUUAGAUCAAUACUCAUUUUUGAGAUGUUAAUCGUUCAUUUGAAUGAUGGUUCUUUGAAUUCUUGAACUAGGAACUUGGAAUCUUGAAUACAUUUUCAGAAUUAAUGGUGAACAUUGGAGGUUGUUGAAGUUGGAUGUAGGAGCUUAAGAUUUUCUUUUUGAGGGAAUUUGAUGAAAUAUAACGUAUAAUGCUUCUAAUAGGCUUUACUAUAGGGUUUGGAUGGAUUUUGGGUGAGGGGGAAUGCCCAAAACGCCUCUAAUAAUUAAAUAAUUCUCGAAUCUAUCCUUUGGUGGAAUGUUUUGAUAGUCUGAAGUAGAUCAACCAUAACGUUUUACUCCGAUAUCCAAAUUGGAUGAAACCAAUUUCAUUACAAAUAGGACUCUCAUAUAUUUUCGUUGAUAUAUAGUAUCUCACCUAGAUCAUUGUGUACGAGGAGUUAUGAAUGUUUGAAGUUGACCCAAAAAUUUGCUUUUGAUAGGCUAAUGUAGAUCGUCCUGAACAUUUUUCUCCGAUCGGAAAAUUGGAUGAAACCAAUUUCAUUGGAAAGAAGACUCGCAGAGCUUUCCAUUGAUAUAUAGUAGAUCACCCAGGUCAUUAUGUACAAGGGGUUAUGAUCGUUGAAAGUUGGAGCAUAAAUACGCCAGGCCUCAGUACUUUUUCUUGCACGUUUUACUAUUUACUACUAUUCACGGUUAGAUCAGAAUGUUCAUAACUUGUCGCUCGGGUGUCCAUUUGGGAUGAUCCACAUAUCGUUGGAAAGCUUAUUCGAUACUCUUAGCAAUGGUGGGUCAUAAUAUGAGACAUUACACACGAUAAAUUUAUAAUUCGUUCUAGAAGAUAGAACCCAAUAUGAUUACGCACAAAAUUUCAACGAAAAAUUUCCUGAGGUAUUACAUCAUCCCCCUCUUGGAAACAUUCAUCCUCGAAUGACUCUAUACAUGACAAGAUUCGAUAGGGAAUAGAUCAUACAGCUGAAACCAUUUGUUAGACACAUUACCACAUCGUUUCUCACUCCGAAUGUAACAUAGAAUGUAUAAAUUCAAGAAACUACAGCUGAACACAUAAUAAAUGACUGCUGAACUGCUACAACUUUUAUCAAAAGUGCAUGAUUUAGGAAAGAACGGUACUUUCGGCUUGAUCGAAUUCGCAAAAAAUAGGUGCGGGUACUUGGAUUGCAUAUCCGCCUCAUCUUCCCAAGUUGCACCCUCAAGAGAUAGGUUUCGCCACAACACCUUGACCAAGGGAACUUCUUUGUUCCUUAGUCUUCGGACAUUGAAAUCAAGAAUCUCGACAGGAUUCUCAUCAAAAGAAAGAUUUUCUUGAAUGUCAGAACUCACAGAGGAAUCCAUUACCAAAACAUCGCUAAUAUGCUUUCUAAGCAUGGAGACAUGGAAUAUUGGAUUAACAGAGGACAACUCGGAAGGCAACUCAACCUCAUAAGCUACCUUACCAACACGACUAGGAAUUUUGUAAGGACCAAAAUAACGGGGACUAAGAUUCCCCUUCUUUCCGAAUCUCUUCACGCCCCUCAUGGGUGAAAGUUUUAGAUACACUAGGUCACCAACUUCAAACUUAAGGUCUUUCCUUCUCACAUCCACAUAUGACUUCUGACGACUCUGCACAGUUUUCAACCUUUCCCUAAUCAAGUUAACUUUUUCCAUAACCUCAAAUACCAAAUCAGGACUACUCACAGCCGCUUCACCCACCUCGAACCAACCUAUGGGUGAUCUACACUUCCUACCAUAUAAGNNNNNNNNNNNNNNNNNNNNNNNNNNNNNNNNNNNNNNNNNNNNNNNNNNNNNNNNNNNNNNNNNNNNNNNNNNNNNNNNNNNNNNNNNNNNNNNNNNNNNNNNNNNNNNNNNNNNNNNNNNNNNNNNNNNNNNNNNNNNNNNNNNNNNNNNNNNNNNNNNNNNNNNNNNNNNNNNNNNNNNNNNNNNNNNNNNNNNNNNNNNNNNNNNNNNNNNNNNNNNNNNNNNNNNNNNNNNNNNNNNNNNNNNNNNNNNNNNNNNNNNNNNNNNNNNNNNNNNNNNNNNNNNNNNNNNNNNNNNNNNNNNNNNNNNNNNNNNNNNNNNNNNNNNNNNNNNNNNNNNNNNNNNNNNNNNNNNNNNNNNNNNNNNNNNNNNNNNNNNNNNNNNNNNNNNNNNNNNNNNNNNNNNNNNNNNNNNNNNNNNNNNNNNNNNNNNNNNNNNNNNNNNNNNNNNNNNNNNNNNNNNNNNNNNNNNNNNNNNNNNNNNNNNNNNNNNNNNNNNNNNNNNNNNNNNNNNNNNNNNNNNNNNNNNNNNNNNNNNNNNNNNNNNNNNNNNNNNNNNNNNNNNNNNNNNNNNNNNNNNNNNNNNNNNNNNNNNNNNNNNNNNNNNNNNNNNNNNNNNNNNNNNNNNNNNNNNNNNNNNNNNNNNNNNNNNNNNNNNNNNNNNNNNNNNNNNNNNNNNNNNNNNNNNNNNNNNNNNNNNNNNNNNNNNNNNNNNNNNNNNNNNNNNNNNNNNNNNNNNNNNNNNNNNNNNNNNNNNNNNNNNNNNNNNNNNNNNNNNNNNNNNNNNNNNNNNNNNNNNNNNNNNNNNNNNNNNNNNNNNNNNNNNNNNNNNNNNNNNNNNNNNNNNNNNNNNNNNNNNNNNNNNNNNNNNNNNNNNNNNNNNNNNNNNNNNNNNNNNNNNNNNNNNNNNNNNNNNNNNNNNNNNNNNNNNNNNNNNNNNNNNNNNNNNNNNNNNNNNNNNNNNNNNNNNNNNNNNNNNNNNNNNNNNNNNNNNNNNNNNNNNNNNNNNNNNNNNNNNNNNNNNCAGACUCUUAUGAUCAGUGAAAACAUCAACAUGGACACCAUACAAAUAGUGUCUCUAAAUUUUCAAAGAAAACACAACAGCAGCCAACUCAAGGUCAUGGGUGGGGUAAUUUUUCUCAUGGGGUUUCCACUGUCUAGAAGCGUAAGCUAUCACCUUACCGUUCUGCAUCAAUACGUAACCCAACCCAACUCUCGAAGCAUCACAGUACACCAUAAAAUCAUCAACACCAUCAGGCAAAGUCAAAACCGGGGCUGAAGUGAGUCGAGUCUUCAACUCCUGAAAACUCUUCUCACAAGAUUCGGACCACAAGAACUUCACUUUCUUUUAGGUCAACCGAGUCAUAGGAGACACUAUAGAGGAGAAACCCUCAACAAAACGGUGGUAAUAGCCAGCUAAACCCAAGAAACUUCAGAUAUCAGUUGGAGAAAUAGUUCCAGGCCAAUUUCUAACAGCUUCGAUCUUUUGGGGAUCAACUCUAAUACCCUCGAAAGAAAUGAUAUGACCCAGAAAAGCAACUAACCUUAGCCAAAACUCACAUUUAUUAAACCUGGCAAACAACUUGUGAUCUCUAAGGGUUUACAAGACAGUUCGGAGAUGAUCAGAAUGUUUAUCCUCACUACGGGAGUACACCAGUAUAUCAUCGAUGAACACUAUGACAAACAUAUCCAGUUAUGGUCUGAACACUCGAUUUAUGACAUGAGGUCCAUGAAAGCUGUUGGGGCAUUAGUUAACCUAAAAGACAUCACAAGACACAUAAAAUAGCCAUAACGAGAGUUGGAGUCUUAGACUUAGUGUCUUUGACUCUAACCAAAUGGUAAAUACACCCCUUGGAAAUAAGUUUUCUAGCAUUGAGGUAAGUGAUAAAAUGACUCUUAGGUGACACAGAAUUCCCUGACUACUCAAAAACGGAUGCACCUGGAAACUAAAACUUGACCACUCGGGUUCGACAAUCAAUAGAGGCAUAAGAAGAAUACAACCAGUCCAUACCCAAAAUCACAUCAAAAUAUACUAUGUCUAACUCAAUCAGAUCAGCCAACAACACUCUAUGAAGAACGGUAACAGGACACUUUUUAUACACUUUCUGGGCAACAAUCGAAUAAACCACUGGGGUAGAAACUAGGAUAGGCUCAGGAAUAAUCUCAGGACGCAUUUAAAAAUUCACAGUAAUCAAAGGUGUAACAUAUGUGAAACUGGAUCCAGGAUCCAACAAAGCAUACACUUCAAACUGAAAUAUAUGAAGCAUACCAGUAACAACAUUGGGAGAGUCCUCCUAUUCCUGGUGGGAUGGGAAAGCAUAGAAUAUAUUCUGGCACUGCUCGCCAGCAUUGCUAGAAGAGGCGACCUAAAAUGUGGCUGGGCGAGUCGCUGCAACUGGAGCACUAACAGUCUGAGUCUGGGACUGAGGGCGAUAGUCACGAUGCCCUAGUCCAUCCUGUAGACAAUAUCUAACUCUGUGACCCAUGUCACCACACCAGAAAAAACCCCUUUUCUCACCCCAAAACUCACCUGAAUGAGCCAUACCACACUUAGGACACCGGGGAUAAUUUGGUUUACUGCUAGCACUGUACUGGGACCUUGAUGCAUAUGACUUGUUACCUUGCUCGUGCCUACCUCUAGGCACGGGAUCACUAGUAAAUAAUGGUGCUGGCAUAGAUGAAUGAUCCUGAUACUGAGGGAGACUCCCUCCUUGUGAUCUAGUCUGACCCUAUCCGUGUUGCUCGGACCUAGCUCUCUUAUUCCCUCUCAUUCUAUCUCUCUCUUUAAUCUUGUCUGCUUUAAUCUGUUCGGCAUGAUUCAUCAUCCUAGAAAGAUUCAUCUCACUAUUCAGCAUAGCAGACCUACACUCCUUAACCACAUAACUAGAUACUUCAGCCAUAAACUUACUCAUACUAGCCCGAUUAUCAGCUACUAAGUCAGGAUCAUACUUGGCCAAUUGAUUGAACUUUAGACAGUACUCCUUAAUAGUCAUAAAGCCCUGUUGCAGGUUCAUAAACUCUUCCACCUUCGCCACCCUCAUCUCCAAAGGGAAAAGCUUAUCUAGGAAUGCAUCCUGGAACUCUUGCCAAGUUGUAGGGACAGCUCCCACACCUCUACCUUUUCUCCAAGCAAUAACCCAGUGAUAAGCAAGGUCUUUCAACCUAUACAUAGCCAACUCCACACUAUGUUCCUCAGAUACAUGCAUCACCUAAAUAAUCUUCCGCACCUCCUCUAAAAACAACCAUGGAUCCUCAUCAUACUUGCACCCAUAGAAUUCCAGCAGAUUCAUCCGCAUGAAGUCACGGAUCCUGGCAACAGUAGAAUCACCUCCAUGCUGCUGUGGAGCCAAGGCUGGGUUGGCCUAAACAUUUACAAUAAUAGCUUGGGCCAGCGCCUGAAAGCCUGUCCAAAAUUCAGCAUGAGACAUAUUUUUAUCCACUGGGUCAGCGGGUUGAGGUUGCUGACCAUCAUUAUUUCUUCUCGCUCGAUGUGGAGGCAUAUUUCUAAAAGUGGUGAGCACGAAUCAAUAGCAGAGAUAAAAACUUUAAGCACGAUAGACUUCUGAAAGAAAGAAUCACACUUUUUCCUAAAACAUCUUGUAGCCUCUUGCUCAUAUAUGUGGCGCGCUACACACCGAUGAUCAAGACUCUACUUAACGAGGCUUGUUAGACUCCCUAGGACACCUUAAAACCUUAGGCUCUGAUACCAAGUUUGUAACACCCCGAAAAAUGUGUUCCGAAGCGUCACACGAUGCUUGAGGCUACGAGUAGCCCCAAGCUAACCCUUUGAGCCAUUUUCAUUUAGUUCAACAAAAAUCAAUGGGGUUUCCAUAAAUAACCCUCAAAUAUAAAUAGAGUAAUCAUCAUCCAAGAAUAAAAAAAUUUCAGAAAGAUGACAAAAUAUGACUUAUUAGUCAACUCCCAACAUCUAUACUAGUCUGACAAGCCUCUAAGAAAAUCAAUAAAACCAGCAAGCCAUUAAGACAUGCCCCAACUGACUCAUACUCAGUUAUCAAAAGUAAACAAUUUCGUGAAACAAACAUCAGACAUCAUGUCCUCGAAAUAUGAGGAUUCACCACAAUAGAGGAUGCAGAACAGCGUGCUCGAAGAUUUACUAUCGAACCUAGGACUGAGAACCUGAACCUACAUUCUAAAAAAAUACAGCCCACAUCCGAAGAUGUGGGUUAGUACCAUAGAAAGGAAUCGAGUAUAUGGGGGUGUAUGCAGUUGUAUAAAUAUCAUCAUCAUAAAUAUUUAUAAGAAAUAUGCAGGAUGUAUGAAAGACCCACAUAGCCCAAAGAGAAUCAUCAUAAUCAUGAAAGGAUGAAAUAAGUACAAUAACACAUGUGAGUCAUCAUAUAAUUUGUCAAUCACUUUCAGUUGAUCAAGAAUAUCAAUUCUCAUAAUGUAAAUAUCAUUUAAAUAUUUUGAAAGAAUAACUUUCACAAUUCCACUUUAGAAUCACUUCACUAUUCAUCAUAGACACAAGGAAACACAAACACACUAGGAGAUCCUAUAACCGACAUAAACCAUGUGAGCUACAUGGAGUCCAACGUACAACCCACGUUGGGGAGAGCCGUCCUAUCCUUUCCAUCAGAGUAGGACUAUCGAUAUCAGAUCUACACAAACUAGUGAUCACUAUAUAAAUUUGCCUUUGGCUCACUCCUAUGGGGGCACGUAGUUCUAGGGAAGUAAGGUUGCUUUAUACCUCCCACUCUGUGCUAAAGAUUUCUCCUGGACUUAGCUCAGAUCAUAACAAAGAAAAUCCACAACAAAAUAGAUUCAGUAAUAUAUAAAUAUACAUCGGAAGCCAUCAUGUUUCCCAUCUAUCAAAAUCAACGACGUUGUGGAUUUCUUUCACACUCGAGUUCAAAAUAACUCCAUUAAGACGAAAAGGUUAAAUCAUUCAAAAUAUCUCAAAUAUUCAAUAUCAAUGUUCUUAUAACAAAUACUUUCUCAAAAAAUACAAUUUCCAAUGGGGAUUCACGACCCAAAUAUCAAAAUCAUGAUAAAUAUCUUUCAAGAUUUAUGCUUUAUGUCUCCACACAUGUAAAUUCAUCUUUCAAAAUCAUAAACAUCAAGAUUUCAUAAUAAUCAUCAUAAGAUAUGGGUUCAUGCUUCAAAUUCAUAAAAAUCAUGCCUUUGUAAAGAAAAUUACUUUUGGGCAUAAGAACGAAAGAGAGCUCUUAUGGAAAAACUCCACAUAACUUGAAUGAUGAACUUUGGAUCGAUACUCAUUUUUGAGAUGUUAAUCGUGCCUUUGAAUGAUGGUUCUUUGAGUUCUUGAACUAGGAACAUAGAAUCUUGAAUAAAUUUGCAGAAUUAAUGGUGAGCUUUGGUUGUUCUUGAAGUUGGAUGUAGGAGCUUAGGCUUUUGAGGGAAUUUCAUAAAAUAUAACAUAUAAUGAUUCUAAUAGGCUUUAAUGUAGGGGUUUGGAUGGAUUUUAUGUGAGGAGGAAUGGCCAAAAUACCCCUAAAAAUCAAAUAAUUCUCGAAUCUAUCCUUUGAUGGACUAUUUUGAUAGUCUGAAGUAGAUCAACCAUAACGUUUUACUCUGAUAUCCAAAUUGGAUGAAACUAAUUUCAUUUGAAAGAGGACUCUCAUAUCUUUCCAUUUAUAUAUAUUAUCUCACCCAGAUCAUUCUAUACGAGGAUUUAUGAUUGUUUGAAAUUGACCCAAAAAUUUACUUUUGGUAGGCUGAAGUUGAUCGACCAUAACUUUUUGCUCCAAUAGGAAAAUUAGAUGAAACCAAUUUCAUUGGAAAGAGGACUUGCAGAGCUUUCCGUUUAUAUAUAGUAUAUCACCCAGCUCAUUAUGUACAAUGACUUAUGAUCAUUUAAAAUUUGAGCAAAAAUACGCCAAGCCUCAGUACUUUUUCCUGCACGUUUUACUGUUCACUACUAUUCAUGGUUCGAUUGGAAUGUUAAUAACUCAUCACUCGGGUGUCCGUUUUGGAUGAUCCACCUAUCAUUGGAAAUCUUAUUCGAUACUAUACGCAAUGGUGGGUCAUAAUCUAAGAUAUUCCCUACGAAAAAUUUAUAAUUCAUUCUAGAAGAUAGAACCCAACACGUUUACGCACAAAAUUUCAACGAAAAAUUUUCCGGGGUGUUACACACAAGGAUAAGAAUGCACACAACAUACUAUAAUUCAUUCACUAUGGUCUCUCAAUUAACACUUGGCGUGCAUAGCUUAUACUUAAUUUGGGGGUUUCAAGGCAAUAUGCUAUAAUGACCCAAUUUCCUUCACCCAAGCAUUGUAUCAAACACAUGGGGAGCAUGCUUUGGUCAUAUACCAAUUUCCACACCUAAUUCUCAUGGAUAAUCAAUCAAUAUGCAACUUGAAGGGAUUUAUCAUGAAUAUCACAUAAUUAUUACAUAAUAGGGUCAAAGUUUGCAACUUUAUAAUCAUAUCAUGAAUUAAAACUCAACAACAUAACCUUCAAACUCAAUUCACAUAAACCAUGGAAAACACAUAAAUAUAAAAUCUUGAAUUUAGAAAGAGGGAUUCUGAACUUCCUGGGCGGAAGGGACUCAAGAAUCAAAACUUCCAUACCUCAAAGGCUUGAAUCUUGAAAGAGAAUGUCUUUUCUUGAAGGUUCUUCAAUUAUGAAUGAUAAUUUCUUGGUUUUCUUAAAGGAGAGCUUGAAUCUUGUUCUUGGGUGAUGAUCUUGAGAGAAAACCCUAGUUUUAUUGUUCUUGAGAGUGGAGAAUAUUAAGGGUUUUUAAAACUGAUUUAUGAUAGUUAUGUAUGUAAGUUUUAUGAUUUACAUCGUGGAAGGUGAAUAAAAAGUGCAAAAACCCCUACGAAACUACCUCCUAGUAGCUGAAAUUAUCAGCUGACGACCAAGCCUAAUAAGCCAUCAGAUCUGUGAUAGCCCGUUGAUACGCCCAAAUUACAACUCUCGUUAGAAAGUGCAAGCGGUCGCUGUCAAAUAUAGAACCCAACUGGGUUGGGUGUCAAAUCCCACAGGGAAUACUAUGAUCACUAAGUAUUGCGAUUAUUAUUAGACUGUUGAUCGAAGGUUCCAAGGUAAGGGGGUUUGAGUUUUAGUGCACAUUAAUAUUAUUAGUGUAACGAAUGAGAUGAUAUGUGCAAUAAUAUUUGAUCAUAGAGAAUGACAAGUUAGGGUUAUGUCCACCUUGUAGCUUCUACUUCUCUAUUAACUAUGAGUAAUACGGAUUUUAUACAUGCAUGCACUUAUAGAGAGGCGUAUUCUAAUUCUAAAUCCAAGUGUUUUUCAACCGUCAAGGAUUUAUUCACUUUAGUUCUCUCGAAUCCAAAGUGUAUAACCACUUGUACGAACUCUCCAAGAAGUUAAUCCUGCUAGGGCAUUAACGUGUAAAAUAGAGGUUGGAAACCCUAUUUUCUUGUCACAGUCUCUUUUCCAAAAAGUAACUUUUCUAUCGAACAAGGUAUUGCUAUAAUGGCGCAUUCCCUAUGUUUGCAACCAUGAGAAUUCAAUCAAAACGAAGAGAGUAAUGAUAUAAGUGGAUUAACGCGUCAUAAAUUUAAAAACCCAUAGCAAUAGAGAGUAUACUACAAGGUUUCCAUAACGCUAACGAAUAACUUAGCUACUCAUGAAUAAAACGGGAAUCAAAAUAGAAAUCUUCAUCAUACCAAAACUUAGAACGAUCUUGGUGAUAAAGAUGACUAGCAACAAUAAGAGAGAAACACGUUUCUCUCUCUCCGUCCUCAAGCUAAGCCGCUCUUUGUUGUCAAAAUAAUACAGAAUAUGAAUAAUCGCUAAAAAUUCAGCCAUAAGGCUUUUAAUAACAUCCUUCUCUAAUAAAUUGCUACUGCAUCCUUAACUAUUUAAAAAUAUUCAGUUUGCCUGGGAAAAAGUUCCCAUACAGCACAUUCAGUCCAAAAGCUGCUUUCUUUUUUAUGUGAAGUUUUCCUUUGCUGUCCACAGGUCUCCAAAGUGCUGUAAUAUUCCUCAUUUGUACCUGAAAAGCAUGCUAAUCACAUAGGUCAGCUCACUUAACUAAAAAUAGACUAAAAGUGCAAGACUUAUGUAUUUUAUUCUCAAAACUUAGCUAAAACAUGGGUAAGUUAUGGUGCUUAGACGUAUAAAUACGCCCAACAUCACCACCCCACACUUAAAGCUUUGUUUGUCUUCGAACAAAAUAGUACAUCCAUGCGAAUACCUCACUGAACUUCACAAGAGCAACACAAAAUUUCCCACAAGACAUACACGGCAAUUAUUAACAAAGAGUAGAUUUCUUGAUCAUUACUAGAAACAACUCACCCUCUAACAUAGACUCAUUAAGUUGGUUAAUUCGUAUACCCAAGUUAAGCCAAAAAAAAUCAUAUAAAACUACCCAACAAUUAUCAACCAUGUGCACUCACACAAAAUGUUACCCAUAAUCACUUAUAGUUUUGCAUUUUUCAGAAAUAUAGGUAUAAGAACUUGCUUGCUCUCACUCUCACAAAGAAUUCUUAGAUUACAACUGAUGACCAUAUGCUUUCCCUUAGUGUAAUGCUCCACUAAUAUCAGAAUGCCAAGAUUAGGAUCAAAUAGGUCUUUACGGGUUGUAAAGUAGGCUAAAGCGACGAGUAGGACUAUUUUGGCCAGAAAUGGUGACUAUGUUCCCUAAUCGCUUUAAUACACUACAUUAUGCCAUUUACACUAACUUUUAACAACCACUCUACCUUCAUUUCAUCUACCAACCACUCUACCUUUCUUCACCCAUUUUGUUACUCAAUUAAAAACACUAUGAUGGGAAUAUACAACUCUUUUUAUUUUUUUAUUUUUUUUUUAAUAUAUUUUUUUUCAAGCAUCCCUAUGAUAGCCACCCUAAGUUUAGACUAUUUGCAUCCCUCAGGGUGCCACCCCCGAUCACAAUAUUUUCAUGUACCAAUAACUAAACUUUGGGGCAUCACUUUCACCAUUUUCUUCUUAUUUUGCCACACUCUUUACUCAACUUGAUUCUGCAAUUUAAAGCGCUUAGGAGCUUUUGGAUCAAAUUAUCGUCAUUUAAGAAAAAAUGGAUUAGGCUACAUAUGGGGUUGCCAAAGAAAACAGCUAAAGGCUCAAUGGGUGUUCACUAAGACAAUGUACAAAGCUAGGUAAAAAGAAGAUAAACAAAAUCAGGGCUGCCAAAGAGAUGCCUAAAUCAUCUCCUAAACUCACAAUCUUUAUUUCGCUUCACACACACACAAAGCAAGUUCUAGGAUCAGUCGCAACAAAGAAUAUACAGUAACCUUACACACAUGGCACAUGGUCAACAUAAUUAGGAGCAUUAUAGAUUCUUAACCCAACAUAUAAAUGAAUUAAACCACAAACAAUUAUCACAGAAUGAGUCACAACUUAGAGCCUAAAUGUUUNNNNNNNNNNNNNNNNNNNNNNNNNNNNNNNNNNNNNNNNNNNNNNNNNNNNNNNNNNNNNNNNNNNNNNNNNNNNNNNNNNNNNNNNNNNNNNNNNNNNNNNNNNNNNNNNNNNNNNNNNNNNNNNNNNNNNNNNNNNNNNNNNNNNNNNNNNNNNNNNNNNNNNNNNNNNNNNNNNNNNNNNNNNNNNNNNNNNNNNNNNNNNNNNNNNNNNNNNNNNNNNNNNNNNNNNNNNNNNNNNNNNNNNNNNNNNNNNNGGGGUCAUACCCCCUGCGUCAGAAUCAUCAUCAGAGUCUUCAUCAUCAGAGUUGUCCUCCACAUCAGAGUCUAGCAGUUGGUGAUCAUCGUCUAUUGGCACAUCAUCAUCUAGAUGUUCUUCAAAAUUUACCCCCACUCCAUACAUGGCCCGAGCAUGCUCAUUAAGCGGGUAGUCAUAGUCCAACUGCCGAAGCUCUACAUUAGUCGGCACACGACCCCUAUUCAUCAUAGUAAACCUAGUCAUGCAAUACAGAUGGCGAAAAAAACUCUCAUCUCGAGCAUGUCUCUCAAUAGUGGUGAGGUUGAUGCCUUGACCAGUUUCUGGAUCUUUGAUUUUUGUGAGAUCUACCUUCUUCGGGUUAUGUGGCAACUUAUGGUAUGCUGGCUUCUCCUCAAUGUGCUCUUUUCUUAAAAUUGCAGUCAACAAGUUGCCGAAGCUGAAAUGAGACCUUUUGUGCACCCUUGCUUUUUGCAUCGACGUUUGUAUAACUGCACCAAUGUUGAUGGGAACAUUCAUUAUUAGAGCAUAUACCAAGCAGACUCGAUCACGUGUGACCUUAGUGUAUUGUGUCCCAGGAAUCAAGCAGGAGUUGACUAUUCUUAACCAUAUGCGAGCUUCUCUUUUCAAACAAGCAUAUGGGUAAGUAUUGUGACGACCAUUAUCUUUGUGACAAGUCCACCGGGUCAUGGACCUUGAUCCACACAACGUAUGUAUGAUGGCUCUGUAGGGAGGUUUGUUGUAGAGCUCCUUGAGUGGUGAUUGAUCCACACUUGGAGUACCCAGGAAAGAGUUGAAGAAAUCAACGUUAAAUUGCAAGACUUGCCCCCGAAUCUUUACUUCAUUUCCCGUAGUCCUUGGGGACCAUUUGGUAUAAAACUCUCGAGUUAAAUCAAGAUUACAUUCGCCCAUUUCUCGGAAAAUAAAGUCAAGAUUUAGUGCCAUAAUCUUUGCCAAAAUACGAGGGCAGUUCUUUGCUAAACUUUCCUUCUGCAUAAACUCCACAUGGACAUAUUUCUUCACUUUAUUGUUUCUAUUCCAUUACUUCCCUUCCUCCUCCAUAACCCACUUGAUCCCAAAAGUGCAUCGAGGCACUUGAAGAGAGGAGGAAUCAGCCUGGUCCUUUCUUAACCUUUUUUGACCUUUUUGUGAGGUGGCUGCUUUCUCCUUUCCCUAUCGUCCUUUCGGAGCCAUGUUACAUGAGAUCAUAAUAGGGUCAUGUUAGUCUCAUUUCAUAAAAUUCACUAUAAUCGAAAAAGAAAUAGUGAUGGCACCACCCCACACUUAAUUUGUAUGCACAAAAUAAUUGAGUGAGUAUGUUCGAUUACUCAGACUUCAUCGACAUACAUGUAGAUGGUAUGUGCAAACAACAUUAUUAGUGCAGUCACACUUUCAACCCUUCACUUUACAUAACAAUUCCUCAUUUUGAUAUUGAGAAGCAGCACACAAUGGUUCUGUAAUCUUGACUAUCAUUUCCAACUUUAUUUCAUUGGGGCAAUGCAAUCUUUGAACAAGACUACCACAUAGAAAUCUUAUCAUGCUAUAGCAUAGAAACAAUUACACAAUCUUAUGAUUUUGAUUAACCAUGAGCAUCACAUCGAUGAACGAGUCACUCACAUAGUCAAGCUUACAACUCCCAAAAUUAUGCAUUAAACUUCAAUAUUUCAAUUCCAAAAUAAUAAAAAAAAUUAUGACAGUGAAUACCAAUCAAUAGAUGCCAAAGUAAAAUCAAGAUUACCUACGAGAAUCCUUUCACUCAAUGAGAUAUAUUUUUCAAAAAUCAUAACAAACUAACCAUACUCUUAUCACCAAGAACUACUACAAAAUAUAUCACUGAAACAACUACGAAACAUGAAAGAGCAACUUACUUAGUGAUAAAUUCGUAAUGAAUCGGGAAGGUGAGCCUGUAGGAUUAGAUGAGAAAAGUGAAGGGCUUGGAGGGUGAUGUUGGGCGGCGCUUAGGUUUAAGAAAAUUUUAGAGGGAUUUAAGGGUAGAGGAUAUAUUUAAUAGAUGAGGCAUGGGUUGGGUUGGUCCAUUCACACUCGAGUUAGUAGGCAAAAUUCACGUUGAUAGGCGGCGCCUAUAGCAUCGCCUAAGCCUAAGUAGGCGGCGCCUAACCUAUUGCCUAUGUUGGCAUAGGCGGCGCCUAGCCUAUCGCCUAUGUUUGCGUAGGCCGCGCCUAGCCUAUUCCCUAUGUGAGGCAAUGAGCAUAGGCGAUGGCAUAGGCGGCGCCUAGCCUAUCGCCCAUGUUGGCAUAGGCGGGGCCUAGGCUAGUGCCUAUGUUGGCAUAGGUGGCGCCUAGCCUAUUGCCUAUGUUCCAUCAUUCCUAGUCUUACCACCAUUGACAUGGCUCACUUUUAAGUUAAAAUUUGGGGCUAAUCUCCUCCUUUGUACUUCAUACACCUACACUUAAUCAAAAACAACAAAAAUGAUUAGAAGGAUGGGUUACCUCCCACCAAGUGCCUUAGUUUUGGUCAUGGCUCGACUCUUCUUUUUGAAUUUUUAUUUACCAAAAACAAACUCCUAGUAAAACAAAAAUUAUUAAAAUGAUGGGUUGCCUCCCAUGUAGCGCUUGAUUUAUUGUCNNNNNNNNNNNNNNNNNNNNNNNNNNNNNNNNNNNNNNNNNNNNNNNNNNNNNNNNNNNNNNNNNNNNNNNNNNNNNNNNNNNNNNNNNNNNNNNNNNNNNNNNNNNNNNNNNNNNNNNNNNNNNNNNNNNNNNNNNNNNNNNNNNNNNNNNNNNNNNNNNNNNNNNNNNNNNNNNNNNNNNNNNNNNNNNNNNNNNNNNNNNNNNNNNNNNNNNNNNNNNNNNNNNNNNNNNNNNNNNNNNNNNNNNNNNNNNNNNNNNNNNNNNNNNNNNNNNNNNNNNNNNNNNNNNNNNNNNNNNNNNNNNNNNNNNNNNNNNNNNNNNNNNNNNNNNNNNNNNNNNNNNNNNNNNNNNNNNNNNNNNNNNNNNNNNNNNNNNNNNNNNNNNNNNNNNNNNNNNNNNNNNNNNNNNNNNNNNNNNNNNNNNNNNNNNNNNNNNNNNNNNNNNNNNNNNNNNNNNNNNNNNNNNNNNNNNNNNNNNNNNNNNNNNNNNNNNNNNNNNNNNNNNNNNNNNNNNNNNNNNNNNNNNNNNNNNNNNNNNNNNNNNNNNNNNNNNNNNNNNNNNNNNNNNNNNNNNNNNNNNNNNNNNNNNNNNNNNNNNNNNNNNNNNNNNNNNNNNNNNNNNNNNNNNNNNNNNNNNNNNNNNNNNNNNNNNNNNNNNNNNNNNNNNNNNNNNNNNNNNNNNNNNNNNNNNNNNNNNNNNNNNNNNNNNNNNNNNNNNNNNNNNNNNNNNNNNNNNNNNNNNNNNNNNNNNNNNNNNNNNNNNNNNNNNNNNNNNNNNNNNNNNNNNNNNNNNNNNNNNNNNNNNNNNNNNNNNNNNNNNNNNNNNNNNNNNNNNNNNNNNNNNNNNNNNNNNNNNNNNNNNNNNNNNNNNNNNNNNNNNNNNNNNNNNNNNNNNNNNNNNNNNNNNNNNNNNNNNNNNNNNNNNNNNNNNNNNNNNNNNNNNNNNNNNNNNNNNNNNNNNNNNNNNNNNNNNNNNNNNNNNNNNNNNNNNNNNNNNNNNNNNNNNNNNNNNNNNNNNNNNNNNNNNNNNNNNNNNNNNNNNNNNNNNNNNNNNNNNNNNNNNNNNNNNNNNNNNNNNNNNNNNNNNNNNNNNNNNNNNNNNNNNNNNNNNNNNNNNNNNNNNNNNNNNNNNNNNNNNNNNNNNNNNNNNNNNNNNNNNNNNNNNNNNNNNNNNNNNNNNNNNNNNNNNNNNNNNNNNNNNNNNNNNNNNNNNNNNNNNNNNNNNNNNNNNNNNNNNNNNNNNNNNNNNNNNNNNNNNNNNNNNNNNNNNNNNNNNNNNNNNNNNNNNNNNNNNNNNNNNNNNNNNNNNNNNNNNNNNUAAGCACCCACCAAUUAGCCUUGGCUUGGCAUCCUUCUUUGCCAUUAGAUAUCUUAGAGCCGCAUGAUCUGUAUGAACCACUACCUUGGUUCCCAACAAGUAAGCACGAAACUUUUUGAAAGCAUAAACAACCGCUAGAAGCUUUUGCUCAGUGACAAUAUAGUUCUUCUGUGCUCCAUUCAAGGCCUUGCUUGUGUAGUAGAUUGGAUGAAAUAGCUUUUCUCUUUUUUGACCAAGUACAACACCCAAGGGUACACCACUUGCAUCGCACAUAACUUCAAAAGGUAGAGACCAAUCGGGUGCUACAAUAAUAGGGGCUUCAACUAGCUUUCCUUUGAGGCAUUCAAAUGCCUUCAAGCAAUCUUCACCAAAUUAAAACUUUGCCUCCUUCUCCAAAAGUUUACAUAAUGGAUUUGCAAUCUUGGAGAAGUCUUUAAUAAACCUCCGAUAAAAACCAGCAUGACCGAGAAAACUACGAACCCCCUUCAUAAAAAUUGGUGGUGGUAGUCUCUCGAUAACUUCAAUCUUGGCUCGAUCAACUUCAAUUCCAUUUUCAGAGAACUUAUGCCUGAGAACAAUGCCUUCCUUAACCAUAAAAUAGCAUUUCUCCCAAUUUAGCACCAGAUGGAAUUCCACAUAUCGCUGCAAAGCCAUACUCAAAUUUGCCAAGCAUGACUCAAAUGACUCACCUACAACCGAAAAGUCAUCCAUAAACACCUCCAAGGUGUCUUCAACCAUAUCAGAGAAAAUAGACAUCAUACACCGCUGAAAAGUGGUCGGUGCAUUACAUAGCCUAAAUGGCAUUUAUUUGAAUGCAAAAGUACCGUAUGGGCAUGUAAAAGUGGUCUUCUCUGAUCUUCAGGAGCAAUGCAAAUCUGAUUAUAUCCGAAAUAACCAUCCAAGAAAUAGAACCAUCUCUUUCCUGCCAAUCGAUCAAGCAUUUGAUCCAUGAAUGGCAUUGGGAAGUGGUCCUUUAACGUCCACGAGUUUAGCUUCCGAUAAUCCAUACACACCCUCCACCCUAUGAUAGGCCUGAGUGGAAUUAGCUCAUUCUUCUCGUUCGCUGCUACUGUCAUGCCCCCUUUUUUGGGCACUCAUUGUACAAGACUCACCCAUUUACUGUCUGAGAUUGGAUACACCACCCCUGCAUCUAACCACUUUAUGAUUUCUUUCUUCACCACCUCUUGCAUUGGUGGAUUCAGACGACGCUGACGCUCAAUAGUGGCUAUGCAAUCUUCCUCUAGCUGAAUCUUGUGCAUACAUAUGCCAGGAGGGAUACCAAUUAUAUCUGCAAUAGUCCAACCAAUAGCUCUCUUGUACUUCUUCAGGACAGAGAUGAGAGCCUCUACCUACUGUUCACCUAAAUCAGCAGUAAUAAUAACUGGCAGUGUAUUUCCACUGCCCAAGAACACAUUCCUUAGAUGACUGGGUAGCUCUUUCAAUUAUAGCACUGGUGGCUCAUCAAUGGAUGGCUUCGCCGGUGGUGAAGGUCGACUCUUAAGGUCAAGGUCCAGCUUCUUAGGGGCAUAAGAAUACGACCCCAUUGCUGUCAAAGCACAGAUAGUUUCUUCGUACUCUUUAACAUCCUCAUGAUACAAGUUCAAAAGCACAACAGCCAAUGGCUCAACCGUAAGCUGCUUCUUAUCCUUAUAAUAAACAUCAACUAUAGAGAACACAUUCAUAUCCUUGGGUUGCUUCAUUGAUUUGCAUACAUCAAAAUGUACCACUUCGCCAUUCAUCCGAAAUAAAAGCUCAUUCGUUCGCAAAUCAAUAAGCACACUUUCUGUUGCGAGGAAAGGUUGACCCAAGAUUAUGGGCACCUCAAAAUACAUCUCGCUAUCCAAAAUAACAAAGUUUGUAGGAAAAAUGAAGGUAGAAUCCUUUACUAAUACAUCAUACAAGAUACCAACAGGUCGCUUUACCGACCUAUCUUCCAUUACAAGCACAUGUUGGUUGGUGUAGGAUCGCCCAACCCCAACUGUCUAUAAAUGGCUAGUGGCAUCAAAUUAAUGCUAGCCCCUAAAUCACAUAAAGCCUUACAAAAGUCUAAAGAUUCAACCGUGCAAAGAAUAGUGAAAGCACCCGGAUCUGCCUUCUUUUGUACCAAAGACCUUGUGGCAAUUGCACUGCAAUGAUGAAAAUUAUCUACCAGUUCAUAGCUCGCUGCCCUUUUCUUUGUCAAAAGGUCCUUCAUGAAUUUGGCGUACCCUGGAAUUUGCUCCAGUGCCUCCACUAAAGGCACAUUUAUAGUCAGCUGCUUCAGCAUGGUCAUGAAUUUACUGAAACUAGUGUCAUCAGCCUUAUUCUUCAGUCUCUGAGGAAAAGAUGGUGGUGGAUUUGGAAGAGUUUUCUACACCACUUCAUUUUUAUUGUGCUUCCCAUUAUCAAUCUUUUCAGACUGCUGACAUGUAGGUGGAGUAUCAUGAACGUUCUCAUCAUGAUCUUUAACUUCAACAGAAUUAUUACGAUCUGCUUCAAUAACAUUCUUCUCUAUACUAUCAACCACGGGCUAGCCCUUGGAUGGAUUUUCCAACACUUUACCACUCCUGAUUGUAAUAGCCAAACAUGAUCCAUCUUUCCUUGGAUUUUGGACAGUGUCACUCGGUAAAGUGCCAGCUUUUCUUUGAUUGAAUGCCGCUGAUAGUUGACUUAUUUGUUGUUCCAGCUGUUUUAUUGAGGUGGAAUGUGAGUGAACCAAUUGAUUUAUUGAGGACAAAUCAUUUUUUACCUCAGUUACUCCCGUAUUGGUUGCCUCCACUCCUUUCAACAGCUUAUCCAUCAUGUCCUCCAUGGACAUCUUCCAAGAGCUAGGUGCAACAGCUUCACGAUUUCCAGAAGGGACAUACAAACCACUUCUGUCAUUCUUAUUCUUCCAAUUCCCUUGGUCUAGGUCCUUGUAUCCAGAUUUUUCAUAAUAGUUCCGACCUUGGUUUCCUUGGACAUUGCCUCGGAAACCCCCCUGAUUAUUUAAGUAAUUUGCUUCCUCCUCAAAAUCAGAGUCAUCUCUUCCCUGUGAUACAACAGCCUUGACCUUUUCUGUCUUCCCUGAUAAUAAAUGCUUGGUAAGAAGGUCCAUCUGCAUUUUCAUGUGAGCCAUAUCCUAGUCACGUUCCUCUUUUUUUCGUCUCUAUUCUGCCGUUAUGCCAAUAGAUACAGUAGAGCUUGCUACCUCAAAAUCCUGGUAUGGCAAGCUCUACUCUGCUUUGUCAUACGAUCCAGCAUAUCACAUGCCUCAAUAAAAUUAAGGUCCAUAAAUGACCCAUCCGCAGCAUUAUCGACCACUGGCGUAGUCACCGAGUUCAAAGCCCUAUAUAAUAUUUCCAUCAAGUGGACGUUGGUCAUCUGAUGAUUUGGGCAUCGCAUAAGCUUCUUCUUGAACCUCUCCCAUGUUUUGUGGAGGGAUUCAGUUGGAAGCUGUCUGAAAUUGCUUAUCUCAUCUCUUAAUUGUGCUCUCUUAGAUGGCGGAAAAAAUCUUUCUAGGAAAGCUUCUUUCAGUUGCCUCCAAUUGGUAAUAGAGUCAGGAGUUAACCCAUUUAACUAUAGAGUUGCCUCUUCAGAUAGAGACAAUGGAAAUAAGCGCAGCUGGAUCGCGUUCUUUCCAACCCCUGGAUUAUCAAAUGAUUUGCAUGUUGAGAUAAAAUUAAUCAGAUGCAUAUUCGGAUCGUCGCCUGCAAGUCCACCAAAUAACCCUUUGAGUUGCAAUAGCUGGAUCAUGGUGCUAGUGAUAUUGAACUUGGCUCCGGGUGCCAAAGAAGGAGGAAUAAUAGCCCCUGUGGCACCAGCCCCAUCUAAGUCGUCAUCAUUAUCAUCAAAAGCAACUUGCACAGCUCGGCGUUCAGGUCUCAUUCUAGCUUGACGAUCUCUGUUGACAUUCCUGUUCACUGGUGCAACCACAUCAUCUGCAUGCCUUGGAUUUAAUAACUCAUCAUCAGCUAAUCUAGCCUGCUCUUGUUGAGUAUCCAUCCUUUCAAGGUCUCGUUGCGCAUCCAUUCUGCCAAUGAGAUGUGGUUCAGGAUUUAUAGGCAAUAAUGGCUGACCAAAUCUUCGUGUAUUUGGCAUGCACUCCACCAAACCUGAACAAAACAAAAAAAACAAACAAAAAGUAAAAUUUGAGAAUCUUUGACCAAAGGGUCUAUUAACUAUCAUAAACUUAGUUGACAACCGUAUUCCCCGGCAAUGGUGCCAAAAUUUGAUACGGUCACUGUUAAAUAUAGAACCCAACUGGGUUGGGUGUCCAAUCCCACAGGGAAUACUAUGAUCACUAAGUAUUGCGAUUAUUAUUAGACUAUUGAUCGAAGGUUCCAAGGUAAGUGGGGUUUGAGUUUAAGUGCACAUUAAUAUUAUUAGUGUAACGAAUGAGAUGAUAUAUGUAAAAAUAUUUGAUAACAGAGAAUGACAAGUUAGGGUUAUGUCCACCUUGUAGCUUCUACUUCUCUAUUAACUAUGAGUAAUACAGAUUUUAUACAUGCAUGCACUUAUAGAGAGACGUAUUCUAAUUCUAAAUCCAAGUAUUUUUCAACCGUCAAGGAUUUAUUCACUUUAGUUCUCUCAAAUCCAAAGUGUACAACCAAUUGUACGAACUCUCCAAGAAGUUAAUCCUGCUAGGGCAUUAACGUGUAAAAUAGAGGUUGGAAACCCUAUUUUCUUGUCACAUCUCUUUUCCAAACAGUAACUUUUCUAUCAAAAAAGUUAUUGCUAUAAUGGCGCAUUCCCUAUGUUUGCAACCACGAGAAUUCAAUCAAAAUGAAGAGAGUAAUGAUAUAAGUGGAUUAACACGUCAUAAAUUCAAAAACCCAUAGCAAUAGAGAGUAUACUACAAGGUUUCCAUAAACCUAACGAAUAGCUUAGCUACUCAUGAAUUAAACGGAAAUCAAAAUAGAAAUUUUCAUCAUACCAAAACUUAUAACAAUCUUGGUGCUAAAGAUGACUAGUGACAAUAAGAGAGAAACACGUUUCUCUCUCUCCAUCCUCAAGCUAAGCCGCUCUUUGUUGUCAAAAUAAUACAGAAUAUGAAUAAUCCCUAAAAAUUCAGCCAUAAGGCUUUUAAUAACAUCCUUCUCUAAUAAAUUUCUACUGCAUCCUUAACUAUUUAAAAAUUUCAGUUUGCCCAGGAAAAAGUUCCCAUACAGCACAUUCAGUCUAAAAGCUGCUUUCCUUUUUAUGUGAAAUUUUCCUUUGCUGUCCACAGGUCCCCAAACUCCUGUAAUAUUCCUCAUUAGUAUCUGAAAAGCAUGUUAAUCACAUAGGUCAGCUCACUUAACUAAAAAUAGACUAAAAUUUCAAGACUUAUGUAUUUUAUCCUCAAAACUUAGCUAAAACAUGGGUAAGUUAUGGUGCUUAGACGUAUAAAUACGCCCAACAUCACCCGUCAUCCCAGGUCGUCACCUAGGAGAUGGAAUUGAUGGGUUACUAUCUAAGCUGACGACACGGCUGAUAAGUCAUCAAAAAUGUUGUCAAAAAUGUGAUAAGUUAUCAGAAAUGUCGUCAGAAAUAUGAUAAGUCGUCAGAAAUAUCGUCACUCAGUUUCCAGGCUCACAUGCUGGAGUAAAAUGGGUAUAACUUUUUGCUCCAAUAUCGGAUUUGGGCGAAAUUGAUAUCGUUGGAAAGAUAAUUCAAUUAUAUAUCUGUUAUUGGGUCAUGAUCUCAAAAAUUCAUAGUACAAUGAGAGAUAUGCUCAUUUGAAGUUGACUAUGGCAAUAUCCUUCCUAAGAAUUCAAUCGAUAAGGAAUGUUUUGCUUCGUCUGAUAGCUGGGAGUUAUUUGAAGCCUUCAUAUACAUCUGUUAUUUGAAGCCUUCAUAUACAUCUUACUCAUAAAACUAUAAAAGAAUUAUGAUGUACUAUGCAUGAGAUUUAAACAUGGAGCUAAUAUUGGUUUGGAUUUUUAGGGGUAUUACAAUAAUAUCCACACAUUAUAAUGAUAUCAUGGCCACAUAUAAGGAAGUCAAAAAUCAUAGAAUCACACACAUAAAAGAGAAAAAACAAUUUUGAAAUCUUAGUGAUAUGGUAUGUAAUACAGUGCUCAAUGCUUAACUCAUGUAAAUUCACCGAGUUUAAGCUUCCAAGAGUGGACUCAUGGAGGAUUCACAAACCAUAUACUAAGCAUAGAAUCACAAGCCUACCUUAUCGACACUUCUUUAUCUAAGACAUUUUGUAAGCUGGUAUAUUUAAUUUAUAAGGAAAUCAAGAACAAUGAUAGUGCUAGAUUCGUGAUCAAUUAGAUAAUAUAUAAGUAUGGAAGAUCAUGGGGAAUAUAAUGAUAUAUCAUAAAUCCCUUGAAAUAUAUAAGUGAAACUCCAAUCUCAAUUAUUCAGUAAUCAUGAUGCACAUUAAUAUAUGCUAGAAAGAUAGAAAAAUACAUUAAAGGAGAUUACAAUGGCUAAAAAGGAAAUAAGGAGCCAAUUAUAAUGAUCUAGCCCUCACUCGAGAAUUACACAUAUAAUCACCUAUUGGGGUAGAAUCACAAAUGGUAUGACAUGGGACUCCACAUAGCAUCAAUACCAAAAACAAAAAUUUUACAUACAUAAAAGAAUGUAGACAUUAUUUCAAACAACACUGAAUCAUAAAGAUGGAAAACUUGGAUGAUACCUGUAAUCACAGCAACAGAGGCUUUCGCCUCAGCUCUUCCAAGAAAAGAAUACUAUCCAUGCUUAUUACCCGAAUGAGUGACUCCUUGAACCCCUUUAUAAUCUUUUUGGGUCCUACCCCUUGUUGAUAACGCUCAACUUAUACGUCAAUUUAGUUCAAGGAGGUCUUCGUCAAUAUAUUUACCCGACUUUGGAGUCGGGGUCGAAUCCACGAGGAUUAAUGUGAGUGGCGACUAAACUAAUUUGAAACUGUAGCUACAAGUUGAAUUUAAAUAAAUGUUGUGAAAAUAUUAAAUGGGGGAUUUUAUAAAUCAAACAAUAAUUAAAGUUUUGACUUGCUUCAGAGCUCAAAACCAAAAUUUUAAUGGUUCAAAUCAGUGAUAGAGAGGAACUAGGGUUGUGAUCACUAUGAUUAUUAAUCCUCAUUAAAUAAUAAUUGUAGUAUUGGGUUCUCAUGACUUGUGGGAAACACCAAAUUAUUAGUUUCUAUAGUUCAUCUAAGUGUUUCUCAACCGGCCUAGAUGCUGAACUCCCUAAUUCUCUCAAACUUAGGAAAUCAUUCUAUUCAUACAAAUAUUAUCUCAAAUUAAUCAAUCUUGUUCCAGUAUUAAUCAUUAGAUGGGAUCUUAACCUUCCCAAAUCCUUGCUGAUAAUUCGCUACCUUUAGUUUAUUUCUUAGUUCGAGCAAAUCAACAUAAGGCGGGAUUUAUUAUUUACAACCAGCAAAGUAACAAUCAUAACAAAGGAAUUAUCAAAUUGUCCCCAUAAUCACUCAAACCCUAACCAAUUAUUAAAUCCAUGGGGGGAAUAAUCAUAGAUCCCACAACCCUAGUUGUGGGUUUUAGUUCCAUAUGAGAAAGAAAGAGAUACCAACAAUUAUAAUCAUUAUUCAAUGUAAUUAAAAUUACAAAAGAUGAAGUCUGAAGUGGAUUCUCUUCUAAGUUCAAGAGAAAAUUCCUACAACCAAAUCAAAGAGUUGAAAUUUAAUUCUAUGUUUUUAGCCCCAAAAAGAGGUAUCUUUGCCUUUGGAAUAAGUUUAAGAUGUUCUGCCCCUUCUUAAUAGAAAAACCUAACAUAUGCCUUAAUACUUCAUCCUAAUUAGGGAAAUAAAAUCAUAGAUCACAGUAUUUUCUCAGAAAGAUGACGAUGUAUGUGAUGGCUUAUCAGGAGUUUGUGUGUGACAGCUUAUCAGGAGUCUGAUACCUUAUUAGGAAUGUCAUCAACUCCUCUUCACAUUUGAACAAGUUCUAUCUUUAACUGAUGAUGAAUCCCUAAGGCCUAUCAGACAUGUGAUGACUUAUCUGAAUUGUCGCCGCUUCUUCACUUUAAGUUCUUAAGCACUUCCUAAGCCUGACGGCCUAUCACAGGUUGUUGUCUCUUUUUCCAGCUGAAUUGUAUUCUCUGUCUAUGGCUGACACCAACUCUGAUAGCUUAUCACAAGGAUGACGACUUACCAGAUAAGUCAUCAGCUAUACUUCCCUCUCUACUUGCUCAGAAAUCAACUCUUUUACUUCCAUUAUUGCUGGUUCUCUUGUACCUUGACUUUUAAUACAAUAUCUAAGAGAAAACAAUCAAAAAUGACAAAAGUUUCUUAAGACUUUGCAAUUAUUCUCAAUUAAAAGCCUCAAAUGUGUUAGCAUCUGCUCACACAUCAACACCCUCAACUUAAAAUAAUUGCUUGUCCUCAAGCAACUAAAACAUAACUAAGAGGAUACAAAGAACAUUCAGCAGUCAAUAAUCCAUUUUAGCUCAAAACAUCUUCAGCAUCUCCAAGGUCAAUUAAUUUAAAAAACAACAACUGUGCAAAUUAUUGAAGAGCAACAAUGCGACACACAGGAAUCAAGAUAUGGCAUCAAUUCAACAAAAACAACCAUGCAUGUACCAAGAUUACAUUAUCCAAACAAGUUAGCCAUUAGCAACGUAACUAGUGUGCCCUUAUAAUAACGAGCUCCCUCCUCACACAUAUGUGAACCAAGCAUGUCAAUGCGGGGAUGGUCAAGAGACACUCAGUCUCAGAAAAAAAUUUCAGUCAAUGUAUGCCAAAUACCAUAAGGUUGCCCUUAUUUUCAUUACCGAAGCUUUCAGACAGUUAAGUUAGGAUCACUAUAGGACUUUUCUUUAGCUUGUAAUGUAGGCUUGGGGCUGGUAUGAUACACAAGGAUAUUUAAAGUAACUAAGCCUCCUUGGCACUACACUAUUUUUGGGGUCUCACUUAUCAACCUUUACCUUAUUUCUCCCUUGUUUGACUAAAGCACAUUCUAGCUGGGUGCAGUUUUUAUUAAUUUAUUUUGUUUUUUUCACAACUUUUCUUUUUUUCAUUCUUUUUCUACCAUACCCAACCUUGCAUAAUUUUUUUUACCCUUCUUCAUACUCACUUUACACCACACACCCUUAUGAUAGCUACCCUCAACUUAGGCUAUUUGCCUAAGUCAAAGUGCACAAUGUCCAGAGAGGACCAGGGCCAAAACAGGUUCAUUGUGAUACAAAUGAGAAGGUGAUAGGUAUAAUAAAAGAAUAGGCAUUCAGGCUCAAAAUCAGGAUCAAGGGAUAUUAUUUACACAUGGAAAGUCAUUUAGGGUAAAAGUGGACUAAUAUCAACAACGUCCUAGGAUCCUUUCCUAACCGCUAUCCUACAACCAAGACAAGACCAACCGUCCAAGUUCUGGAUUUAACACACAACUAGAACUAGGUAGUAUCUCACACACACAUGGUACAAAUGUACAUCACAAAUUAGUACCUAUUCGGUUCAUGCAAUUGUUUAGCAAUGGUUAUCAUGUCACUAGUACUAAUGCCAUAACAAGAUGCAUAGUGGUCACACAUAAAUGCAUAUCACAUAGUUAUAAAAUAUACCAUUGGAGAGGUGUUCAAAAAAUCAACAAAAACAUGGUAACUUCCUAAGGUACUUGUAUUUCUCUUAGUCAACUACAACAUUUUACAGUAAAUCACAAUACGCCUAAACUUGCCGGCUCUACUAGCAACAAGACUCUGGGGAAAAGAGGCAUGGCAACAAAAUCCAUAAGAGGACAUCAACAUUCACAAGUAGCCCCACCCUCAACUUAAAAUCAUGCAAUAUCCCCAAUGCAUCAAACCAAAACAAGAGAGUUAGAAAUAUACCUGUGGCACCAUGGGUGAGAAGAUCUGAUGUCAAUCACAUAAUAUGAAUACAAACAAAAAAAUACCUUGGGAUGCCUCCCAAGCAGCGCCUGAUUUAAUGUCACGGCUUUUUUCUCCACCUUGAGGAUAUAAAUUUCAGCCCCAACUUAGAUUCUAUCUUCUUGCCUAGCUCUUAAGGGGGUGCUACAAAAAUUAAAAAAUCGAGUAAUGGAUUGAGCAUGGUAAACCACUCGGCCUUAAAGUGAGGUAUGUUUUUAUGUUGCUUUUUUAAUGUAAAAUCAAGAAUAUAGGAUUCUUGUUCUUCAUCUUCACACUUUUCUACUAUUUUAAAUGAUUCCACAGACAAGAUAUGAUCUAAACAUAAUGUAGAAAAGUUCUUUGAAUGAGGCCCAAUCAAUCCUACUUCAAAACUUACACUAUCUACUACACACUCACUUUUAUUCACCUCCUCGACAUCUAUACUUCGAAUUGGGCUAGAGUCUUUAUUAGAGAUUUUCUUUGUUUCUUCUUUUGCCUCUAGCACCAUGUCCUCAAUCUUGGCAUCAUCUCUCAUAGUUGGUUCGGUUGGUUGGGAAAUCACUGAGGGUUGCUCAACAUCAAGCUUAACACAAUAUAGGGUUAUUGCUCCUCAUCUUUCCACUUUUCCAUUAGUUUAAAUGAAUCCAUAGAGAAGAUAUCAUCUAAACAUAAUAUAGAAGAAUGCUUUAAAUGAUUGACCUCUAUAUCUAUCUUCUCAUGAAUGAUUGACUUCAUCUCUUGAUGCAUAUCACAUACGAUAUCAUACGUUUCUUUCUGGAGAUCCAACAUUCAUUUAAACAUAGAUUUAAUGCCACUCUUACCGGUACUUCGUUCUUCCUUUUCUUGACCAUAAGACCUAUCAAACACAUAGAAGAACUAGAAUUUACGUUAGCACAAUAGGGGGAUGGGGAAUUUGGGAAAUCACUCUAAUGUCCAUCUUGACCACCACAUAAAGAAUAAUCAUACUCCCGGUAGAAUGGAGAUGGUGCACGCAUCUCUCUUUGAGGAGCAUAGCUACAAUCUUGCCAAAAGUGAGGUUCAUCACAAUAUGGACAUAGAUUAUCAAGAUAAAAUUUUCGACCACCAAGCUCAUGUUCAUUCCACAAUGCCAUAGUAAUAAGUAAACUAAAAUAAAAAUCUACCUAACACAAGAAAUAAAAGAAAACUAAAAACAAAUAUUUCCAAGUUUGAAUUCAAUCAAGUAGGCUAAAAUUCUAAACCAACUUAAUACGCCAAAUUAUUCCCCGGCAACGAUGCCAUUUUGGAUAAUGCUCAACUUACACGUUAAUUUAGUGCAAGGUAGUCAUCAUCAAUAUAUUUACCCAAGUUUGGAGUCAGGGUUGAAUCUACGAGGAACAAUAUGAGAGGAGAUUAAACUAACUUGAAACUAUAGCUACAAGUUGAAUUUAAACAAAUGUUCCAAAAAGAUAAAAUGGGGGGUUUUAUCAAUCAAACAAUUAUUAAAGUUUUGACUUGUGUCAGAUCUCAGAACUAAAAUUUCAAUGGUUCAAAUCAUUGAUAAAAAGGAACUAGGGUUGCGAUCACUAUGAUUAUUAAUCCCCAUUAAAUAAUAACUGUAGUAUUGGGUUCUCAUGACUUGUGGGAAACACCAAAUUAUCUGUUUCAACUGUCCAUCUAAGUGUUUCUCAACCUGCCUAGAUGUUGAACUCCCUAAUUCUCUCAAACUUAGGAAAUAAUUCUAUUCAUACUGAUUUUAUCUCAAGUUGAUCAAUCUUAUUACAGUAUUAAGCAUUAGAUGGGAGCUAACCUUCCCGAAUCCUUGUUGAUAAUUCUCUACCUUUAGUUUAUUUCUCAAUUCAAGCAAAUCAACAUAUAGUGGGAUUUAUUGUUUGUAACCAAUAAAUAAAAAUCAUAACAAAGGAAUUAUCAAAUUGUCCCCAUAAUCACUCAAACCCUAACCAACUAUUAAAUCCAUAGGGAAAUAAUCAUAAAUCCCACAACCCUAGUUGUGGGAUUUAGUUCCACAUUAGAAAGAAAAAGAUAACAACAAUUAUAAUCAUCAUUCAAAGUAAUUAAACUUACAAAAGAUGAAGUCUGAAGUAGAUUCUCUUCUAAGUUCAAGAGAAAAUUCCCACAACCAAAUCAAUGAGUUGAAAAUUGACUUCUAAAAUUUUAGCCUCAAAAAGAGGUGUCUUUGCCUUUUGAAUAAGUUUAAGAUGUUACACCCCUUAUUAUUAUAAAACCCUAACAUAUGCUUCAAAUAGAUCAUCCUAAUUAUGGAAACAAAAUCAUAUAUCAUGGUAUUUUCUCAGACAGAUGACGAUGUGAGUGAUGGCUUAUCAGGAGUCUGAUGCACUAUCAAGAAUAUCAUCAGCUCCUCUUCACAUUUGAACAAGUUUUGUCUUCAGCUGGUGAUGAAGCCUGCCAGCUUAUUAGACAUGUGACGACUUAUCAGAAUUGUCGUCGCUUCUUUACUUCAAGUUCUGAAGAACUGCCUAAGUCUGACGAUGAGCCUGAUGACUUAUCAUAACUCUGACAGCCUAUCACAGGUUGUCAUCACUUCUUCUUGCUGAAUCUUAUUCUCUGUCUAAGGCUGAUGGCAACUCUAAUAGCUUAGGAUAAGGCUAACAACUAAUCAGACAAGUCGUCAGCUAUACUUCCCUCUUUACUUGCUCAGAAAUCAAGUCAGCUAUACUUCCCUCUUUACUUGCUCAGAAAUCAAGUCAGCUAUACUUCCCUCUUUACUUGCUCAGAAAUCAACUCUUUUACAUCUGUUAUUGCUGGUUCUCUUGCAUCUUGACUUUUACUGCUAUAUCAAAGAGAAAGAAAUCAAAAACAGCAAAAAUUGCUUAAGACUUUGCAAUUAUUAUCUAUUAAAAACCUCAAAUGUGUUAGCAUCUGUUCACAUAUCAUGUGUGCCUCAAGAUAUACCUCUACCACCCUUUGCACCCUAUCUAGAUAAAGGCAGUGGUUUAGGACAAAUAUUAUGUUUCAUACUCUAUUAUAGAGGACCUGUAAUAUAUCUGGAGUCAUAUUUAGCAAACUACUAAAGACCAAGUCUAUUCGGCAGAUGUAACAAGGUAAUGACAACAAAAGUGGUCCCAAACAAACCCUUGAUACUGGAAUAAAUCAUGAGUGGCUAAAUAGAGACAUAUAAACUGAAAAGAAAAAACUUUGUGGAAUCUUAAGCAUGAUAUAAUGUGCGAACCUACAAUUUUAUGAAAUGACUAAAAUUUCUUACCAUAGUUAUAUCACAAAGAAAGUAUAAAAGAAACUGAAUAUAAAUAUUACUGACUGCUUGUUUAUAAAGCCUCUACUUAUAUGACUAUAGUUAGUCCGUACAUAAACCCCAACUAUCUCUAAUCAGUGAUAAGAUUGGAAAUAAAAUGAUCUGAUUAUUAAAGUUCGAGUGGUGUUUCAAAAUGACGACAACCCAUUACCUACUAAAUGAAAGUUUUUAUCUACCAGACCAUGAUUGUUUAAGCUGGAACUGAUACUCAUGCAAGCUAGAACUUAUACAUAUAUUAUAAAAUAAUACAGUGAGAGGAAAGUAUGUUGUCAGUACUUUGAAUGUAAUGAAAAUGGGAGAUAUGUAAUUAUCAUGAAUAACUCUUAAACCAUCCUAUAAAUAUUGAGAAUAUAAAUCAUUUACUGUUAUAUGAAAUAAAUCAUGUAUGUACUGAAAAGUUGUAAGACACAAUAAAGUCUCUGAUUCAUGAUUAAAAAUAUUUUUGUAAACUGGAAAGCUAUAGAAGCGUAAAUAUUUUGUAUGAUUUAAAACUAAUAUUUAACAUGCAUAAAUCUAUAAAACAUAGAUAAUUCUUUAAGUAUUAAAAUAACUUAGUUAAAUACAUUUAAACCAUACACAAUAACUUUUAAUGGGAAUCAUAAUCAUAAAAUAUUAUAAGGAAACUAAAAUUAAAGAAUUUGACAUAAUUAGGUGAGAACCCUGGAUCAUGAGUUAAUAAUAAUCAAAUUGAAAAUCAUAAUCUAGAACUAUGUUUUGCACAUAAGGGUGAAUAGAAUGUCUUAUUAAUACCCACAUACCUGACUAUAGAAGAUUCUUAAACUAAAACAUGAAGGACUUGAACUUGGGAAUGAACCUUAUGUUUUGUAAACUUGGGAGAAAUAGAGAGCUUUUCAAUUACUUCUUUUUUAUGAUUGGAAGUAUCAUCGAUAUUAACAAGAAUAAGUAAAUUUAUUUCCCUUUAAUCCCCCCUGAAAGAGUCAAAACAACAUAGUUCAUGUCUUAAAAAAGUAGGAAAAGACCUACAACCUUUUAAAAAUAUUUUGGAAAGAUGUAGGUGUCGGAUACCACAAACGAGUUGGGACAUAGAGAACAAUUCAUGAUCAAACUCGUGGUUUCAUACCCUUUUUGACACUUCUUUGAAAAUUCAAAGCGAGUCCAACAAGGACUCGUUACUUUAACAAAUGACACGUUCCUUCAGUUGAUGACUCAUUCUGUUGAGCCAUGGACACUAAUAUCUUUUGCAAUGCUUCACUAAAAUAAGCAAUGAUUUUUACUCUGAAAUCAAAUUGACAAGUGGUUGAUGGAGUUUCUAAUAUUUAAAUACCUUUAAUUUGGUGGUUACUAAGACACAUAACUUUUUCUUAUACUAGGAGUAGUAAUCUUUUAAAGUUGAUACAAGUAGAAUCUUAUAUUAAAAAUUAGGUGGGAAAGGAGUUUUCAACUCAACUCUAUGUUAGAGACUUCUUAUGACCUUAAAUUUCAUCAGCUCAACUUUGUGGUAGAGACUUCUUGUGAUAUUAAAAUUCAUCAAAUACUCUUAUUGUUCUUAUUUUUAUGGUUCUUGAUAGUUGACAACUUGUGUAUUUAGGAAAAUGAUAGUUGAAACUAGAUAGACAUCCUAUGAGCCAAAGUACAACUCAUAGGUAGAUACCCCAACUCGUGGUCUUUGUAGUGGUGCAUGGGACCGAUUUUUAAUCCAAUAGAAUUUCUCCAUAAUAAUUAGUACAAGCCAAUGAAGGGCUCAUACAUGAUCUCAAGGAAUGUGGUAUAGUCUCUAUUGAGGAAAAACUUUGAUUUCUUCAAGUUUUCUGUUAUAAGUCUAAUUCCUAAGCAUGGGAACUUUUGAUGUGCUACAUAAAGUGACAAAAAUCAUCACAAUUAUAGAAUCCAAUGUCAAAGGAUGAAAACUAAGAUAGACCAAAAGAAGAAGAAUGUCCUUCAUAACCUAAAGAGCAAAAAAGAGAUCCUCAACCUACUUGACCCAAUCUCGAACCACUCAUAGCCUAAAAAUGUAUAAUUCAAACAUUUGCAAUGUUUCUUGAACUAUACUUCAAUAGUAACCAUUACAACAUUAGCUUGAAGAAUCCUAACAUCGAGAUGAGUACCACUCACCCCUAUUGAAUCUUUUAUCAAUAAUCGAGUCACCUACCAAGGUAAAAAUAAAAAAAGAUCUGAAAAAACCUCAGGAUCAAAACCAAAGCACAGAGCCACUUAUGUCGUCAUAUAGAAAAGAGUGGACCUCGGAUCAAAUAGAUAAUACAUGUCACGAGGAAAGAGUUAUAACGUACCAGUCACGACAAUAGGUGAUGCCUCAGAUUCCUAUCGAGAUGUAAGAGCAUGCAACUUAUUUCGGCCAGUAUCGGUAGUACAAGCAGGAGAAGUGCAGAAGCAACACUACUAGGAAGAAAUGAUGGACAACGGGACUCCAUGAAAUCUUACAAACUCUCUAAUAUAGAGCUUGGAAUAGUCCUUGGCUGAAAAAGAAGUAUGGAUUUGAAGGAAAUGGGUUAUUUGGUCAUCCUGUCCAUAAUGACCCGAAUCGAAUCAUGCUGAUGAAAAGUAUGAGGAAAUCCCAUCACAAAGUCCAUGUUCACCUCUUCCCACUUCCAAGUGGGAAUACUAAACUCCUGCAUAAGGCCACUAGGCUUCUAAUGCUCAAUAUGUACAUACUGACAAAUAGGAAACUUAUCUACAAACUCUACCAAUAGAUCUCCCGCAAAUCACAAUACAUCUUAGUAUCCCCUGGAUGAAUAGAGUAACGUGCACCAUGCUCUUCUGUAAGAAUUCGCCGUCUCAACCCAUCUAUAAAUGACACACACAGUCUACUCUUGCAACGUAACACACUAUCUCUCUCUUUGGAGAAAACCUCUACUUUUUUAUCUCUAACAGACUCCUUCAGCUUUACUAGACCGAGGUCCCUAUCUUUCUUUUCCUUCACUUUGGUAGCUAAAGAAGAUUCCAAACUAGUCUACACCCAAACACUACCCUUAGCUGAGUCAACCAAACGAACUCCUAUACUAGCCAACUAAUGAACCUACAAAACCAACUACUUCUUAUCAUUCUCAACAUGAGCAACACUACCCAUAGAUAAUAUACUAAGAGCAUCUACCACAAUAUUGGCCUUGCCCAAAUGAUAGAAAACACUCAUAUCAUAAUCCUUCAAAAAUUCUAGCCACCUUCUCUGAUGAAGAUCUAACUCUCUCUGCAAAAAUACAUACUACAAACUCUUGUAGUCUGUGAACACAUUAACAUACACCCCAUACAGAUAAUUCCUCUAAAUUUUCAUCACAAACACAAUAGCUGCUAACUCAAGACCAUGAGUAGGAUAAUUCUUUUUAUAAGGUUUAAGCUAUCUAAAGGCGUAAGCUAUGACCUUACCUCUCUGCAUCAAAACACAAUCCAAACCAACUUUGGAAGCAUCAUAAUAAAAAACAAACCCAUUUGAAAGAUUCAAGCAAUGUUAAAACUGGGGCUAAGGUGAGUCGAGUAUUUAACUCCUAAAACCUCUUCUCACAAGAAUUUGACCACUGAAACUUGACUUUUUUUUGAGUCAUUUUGGACAUAGGGGAUGCAAUAGAUGAAAACCCUUCAACAUACCAUCUGCAAUAGCCAGCCAAACCUAAGAAACUCCUAAUUUCUAAUGGAGAAAUAGGUCUGGGCCAGUUUCUUACUACUUUUGUCUUUUGAGGGUCAAAUCUAAUUCCAUCAAUGGAAAUAAUAUAGCCAAGGAAAGCUAUUGAUCUUAGACAAAACUCAUACUUACCAAAUUUAGCAAAUAACUGAUGGGUUCUAAGAGUCUGGAAUAUAAUUUUGAGAUGGUCUGCAUGAUCGUUUUCAUUACAGGAAUAGACAAUGAUAUCAUCUAUGAAGAUUAUAAUAAACAUUUCCAAGUACUGUUCGAACAUUCGGUUUAUCAAGUCCAUGAAAUCUGUUAGGGUAUUCGUAAGACCAAAUGACAUAACUAGAAAUUUAGAGUGACCAUAUUUAGUUCUGAAAGCUAUUUUCGGAAUGUCACAUUUUGACUCUGAGCGAAUGAUAGCCGGAUCUGAGGUCCAUUUUAGAUAAAUAGAUGUUACCCUAAAGUUGAUCGAACAAGUCAUCAAUAUUGGGGUGUGGGUAAUUAUUCUUGAUUGUGCUUUGUUAUGCUGACUGUAAUCAACGCAUAUUAUGAGAGAACUGUAUUUCUUACGCAUGAAAAGGACUGGAGCUCCACAUGGGGAAAUACUGCUCUAAUGAACCCCUUAUCUAGAAGGUCUCUUAAUCACUUUUUCAACUCUUUGAGUUCUGCUAGAUCCAUUCUGUAUGAAAGAAUAAAGAUAGGUUGUGUAUCCAAAAAAAGGUCUAUUUUGAAGUUAACUUCCCUUUCGGGAGGAACUCUCGGAAGAUCUCUGGGAAACACAUCUGGGAAUUCCCUCAGUACUAAAACUGACUCAAGACUAGGAGUCUUGGAAUUGGAGUCCUUAACUCAAACAAGGUUCUAGAUAUACCCCUUAGCUUUCAUUGUUCUCACUCUAAGCUACGAAAUAUUUUGACCCCUAAAUGUUGUAGUACUACCCUUCCAUUUAAGGACUGGUUCAUUUGGAAAAUGAAUAUGAACAACUCUAUUUCUAUAAUCAACUGAGGCAUAGCAAGAGCGGAGCCAAUCCAUGCCGAGACUGACAUCAAAAUCAGUCAUUUAUAACUCCACGAGAUCUACUGAAGUGACUCUCUGGGAUAUUGUGACCAAAUAGUUCUUGUAUACUUGUCUAGAUACAAUAGAAACACCUACAGGAGUGGACAAUGAGAAGGGUUCUGCUAAAGUCUUAGGACUAACACAAAAAUUAACGAUUAUGUAGGGAGUUACAAAAGAAAGAGAAGUUCCAAAGUCUAAUAAAGCAUAAACAUAUAAAUGAAAGAACUUUAACAUACCAAUAACCAUAUCAGGAGAACUUUCUUGAUCCUGGUAGGACUGAAGUGCAUAAAUCCUAUUUGGGCGCUGCCCACUGGUGGCACUGGAAUUGGCACACUGUUGAGUCGGACGACUAGAUGGAAUUAUGGAACGAGUGGACUGACCCUGCUGACAACUUAGUAGGUUGUCCCUAACCCUGUGGCCUAUCUUGCCAUUCUCAAAGCAUACAUCACUGCCAACACACCCUAAUGGUUUCUACCAUAUUUCAGACAAAGAGGAUUUGUGCAACCAUUUUUCAUACUUUCCUAGGGUUUAGGGCCAGGCGUACUAUGCUAAUUAUCAUUUCUGGGAAUCAGCACUGGCGCUCUAGCUGAAGAUGGAGCUGGGGUUGAAGAUUUCUAAUGGGAUAGAGGACGGUUACCACCCUCAAACCUCGACUGAGCAAAACUGAAGCUACCUAUUUUGACUCUGUUAUUCUCCUUCUCUCUUUCCUUACACUUUUACUCCUCAAUCUGUUAAGCAUGGACCAUCAACCUAGAAAUGUCUAUCUCCUUAAUCAAUAUCGCGGUCCUACACUCCUUGACCACACUAUUAGCUACACCAGAGACAAACUUACUUAUCCUACAUCUGUCAUCAGACACAACAUUAAGAGCAUACCUAGCUAGCUAAGUAUACUUAAAAGAAUACUCCUUCACACUCAUAUUUCCCUGUCUUAGAUUAAUAAACUGCUGCACUUUAGCUUUCCUUAACUCAAAGGGAAAGAACCUAUCUAGAAAAGUGGUAGCAAACUCCUCCCAUUUAACAGGUCUUGUAUCUGCCUCUCUAUCUCUCUUCCACUGAUUAUACUAGGUGUGAGCAAGCACCCAACUCUGUACUCUCACAGAAGUCAAACCCAUAAUACAAUUUACCUUUUAAACCAUGUCAAGGAAUUUCUGUGGAUCUUUAUCAGACGUAGAUCCUAAAAAUAGAAGAGUGUUCAUUCGGGUAAAGUCCUAAAUCAUAUUUGCAGAAGUAUUAUCCACCAGAAUAGCGGGGAAGGCAGUAGGCUAAUUAUUUUAGGCUACUACUGAGUGAGCUAAGGAAGUGAAUGCCACUCUAAAUUUUACAUGAGAGACAAGCUCAUUCAGAGGAUCUUCUCGAACAGGUGAAUGUGUAGGUUGAUUCCCCUUUCUCUUUCUGUUGGUCUUUUUGGGAGGCAUGUUCUCUAAAUGGAAAGGAAAUUAGAUUAGAAAGGGAGUUUAAAUUGAUCUUAUGCUCAAUCACAGAACAUGAACACUUAAUGAAGGGAAACUUUUCUUAAAAUAUAUUGUAGCUUCUUUCCCAUAAGUGUGGUGCGUUUCACACCAAUGCACAAGACUCUACUUAACAGGACUUUCAAACUCCAUAGGACACUUUCGAACCUCUGGCUUUGAUACUAAUAUUGUAACACACUAAGAGUACAGCAGGAUGCCACAUGGUGCCUACAUCCCCAAAGGACCAUAAGGUAGCCCAUCUUGGUACCUGUUGUGAGCAUGAAAUAAAAUAACAGAGAACAAGUACAGAAUUUAACCAAAAAUGCCAUAAGUCUUUAAUUACGAAAACAAUACUGAAUCAAAAUAUUGAAAACGUCUAUCUGAGAAUAAUACUAUAAGAUUGUCAAUAGCAACUGAUAACUAAAUAACUGAUUGAAAGAGUUCAAAAGCCUUUUGCUGACUGACAGUGGAGUUGAUGGGAUAGGUUCCUAACUAACUUUGACUAACUACUGAACUGAACUAAAAUAAACACAAAUAAUCCUCAGAACAUGAGGACUCACCGCUGCUACUACUGUAGAUGUGUUAGGGAGGUCUAGGUGCAUUCAGGAACGUGAGCAUCCGAACCUAUGAUAUAAGACAUCAUGGUUUAAGAAAUGAGUAUGUGGUCAAUACUUUGAAUGUAUUGGUAUACUAAAUAAGGUUAGGAUAACGUGCAUAGUUCAUAUGCAUGAAUGAUACAGACUAAACACAUAGCAUGAGAUAACUAAUGUAUAGUAUGCGAGAAAUGCUAUAAAAUCAAAAAAUACAUGACCAAGCAUUUGAAAUGAUACUAGAAUAAUCUAUAAAAUAAAACACUAAAAUAAUGAUGCUGAACAACUAAUAACUGUAUGCCAUGGUCAGGAAAGUUUGAAAAUUGAACUCUGAAUUGAACACUGAAUUGAGACUGUGGGAGCUAUCAUCUAACUGACAUGCCCCAAUAAGGUAAAUUUGGGUCCAAACUGUAACCCGAGUUAGAAGGGUGUAAAUACCAUGAUACGGGUACUAACACUGACUAUGUGGAUCUACUAAAGUGUUGACUAGAAGGACUAAGGGUCAGCCUUAACUGGAAGGGACCUAAUGAGAUAUGUGGAAAUCCUUAACUGGCAAGUUAAUGUCUCAACCUACGCUGGCUAGAUAGUUUUGGAAUGCAGGGACUGCUAUUAAAGGUCACACCCUAAACUGGCAGGUGAGCCCCCAUCCUUGUGUACUCUUAGUGGUAAAUCCUACUCCAAACUGUAUUGACUCUAAUUACUGGACUGAACUGAGUCGGCUAACAUGGUACGCUGACUGAAAUAAUAAUACUCUAAUAUAUUUAAAACCCUUCUGAAAGUAUUUAAACUAAGUUUUCAGGCAUUUAUAACCCUCAGGACUCGAUAGUAAUAUCAAUAGGAUCACAAGAGAGCAUUUGAGACCAUAAUACUACUUGGAUAACUUCAUAAAUAGUCAUUGUUAAAAAUUCAUCUAUGAGCCAUUUCAUCAAACACAUGGGGGUCGUGAGUUAAAGCACGAAAUUUUUUUAAUACAUACGAUAGUAACAUAACUUCUUCACUAAAAUCAUGGUUUAGGUAUUUCAACAUGAAAUUUUCAUUAUUCAACAUGCUAAGAACGAACUCCAACAAAAAACACAUGUAAGUAUGGCAUGAAGUCAAAAUUCAUGAAUGUUCAUGGAUAAGACUCAUAACUACAUGUUAAUAUCACAGUUGAACUUGAAAAUUGGGUUCUUGAACUCCAUGGAUUAAAAGGGUCCAUGAAUCAAUAUCUAACAUACCUUAAUUGAAGAAUUCAUGAAGGUUCUAGGUGGAUUUCUUGAGAAUUGAACUUGAAUGUUGAAGGGGCUAGGGUUUGUUCUUGAGAGGAAUUGCUUUUAAUUUUGGGUGAAAUAUGAAUUAUGAGUCAAAAAUGUUGUUUUAAGACCUAAAUCUCAUCUUAAAGUGUGGGGAAAAGACGAAACUACCAUUCUACAUUUAAAAUGUAGAACUAGAAUGUCGAUUAAGGCUUUACCAGGAUGCGGUGAUGUCCUCAUCGCUAUAGUUACCACAACGUAGUGCAAUCUUGUUGAGUCACUAGAAUUGACCAUUGUUGUUUUGCCCUUCAUUGUGAUAUAGUAGAUCCUUCAAUGCUAUACUCUCCGUGAAAUGGUCUAAUAGUAGUGAGUUGUUGCUUAGAAAAUUCAAAUGUGGUCUAAACCUUAUUCAAAAAAACCCAAAACUUACCCGAGAUGUGCAAGUUACACCCCUGAACAUGAAAAAACUCAGAAAGAUUCGUCUCAGAGCCCAGAAGGUCAACUUAAAAAUCCUCAAAUUUAAAGGGAUUCGUGACUAACUCUAUCAACACUUCAGUCUUAUUUUUAAGGUUCUAAGCUUCUUAAGGAAGUACUAGGGGCUGAACUGCACCUAGAAACGUAUGGAGUAUUACACUCUGCUGUUUUAUAUUUUUAUUAUCCUCCUACUCCAUAUGAACAACCAACCUUAAAAUAUCCAUAUCCUUAAUCAGAAAAGCAGUCUUGCUUUUAAGGAUCAAAUUAUGAGAUAACCCACAAGUUAAUAUUCUCAUCCUCGCCCUCAUAUCAACCACCAAAUUAAGAACAUACCUUGAUAGCUAAUGAAAUUUCAAGGCGUACACCUUUACAAACAUUUUUUCCUGCUUAAGAUUCAUAAACUCCUCUAUCUUCACUACCCUCACCUCCUGAGAAAAGAAACAAUCCAAGAAUAGAUUAAAAAAGGACUCCCAAAAGUAAAACUCCUCAACCUCACCUCUAUCCUUAUUCCACUCGUCGUAUUAUUGGUACGUAACAUCCUUGAGCUUCUAAGCUGUAAAAUCUACCCCUUCCAUAUUAGUGGCCUGCAUCACUCAAACUAUCCUCACUAUUUCAUAAAAGAAACCCUGAGAAUUCUCCUUCACCUUCACACUAAUAAAACUAGGAGGAUUUAUCUUCAUGAACUGGCCAACCCUUGUGUAUUUCGUAGAUAGAACCCCAAAUAUAUCCUGCUUAGCCUGAGAAACAACUAAAUGAGAAAUAGUAUGAAUCAACUAAUGAAAUUUUGCAUUAGUCACCUCACCUCUAGGAGAAAUAAUAGGAAUAAGUGGAACUCAAGAACAAUCAGGGAUAGGACCCUCAGAUUGAGUGGAAACUCCAAGUGUAGGAUGUAAUCUAUCAAUAUCGUCCCAAGAUAGGAUAGAGGGAUUUCCUCAUGUUCCAAAUCAAUGAGGCAUGAUAUAAAAAGCGAACAAAUAAGGAUUAGAGGAAAUUAUCGGAGUUAGACUCCAGGCUUGAAAAUAGAAUACCAAGAAAGUAAAACAUUCCUAUAUCUACUGAAUCCUCUCUCUUAUGAAUGUGUUGCACUACACCACCUAAAAGAGACUCAACUAGACCCAACUUUUUGGACCCCUAAUUGACCAUGAACCAAAAUAUUUGCUACUAACUUAAAAUGACCCUACCCAAGGCCUUGUGAUAAUUGGCAUCCCAAGUCCAACAUGAACCAGAGACCACCCUUGUUACCCAACCUAACCUCUAGCCACUUGCCCUGAGUUGGCUAAAUUUCAAGUAUCUAACAAAAUAGCAAAACUAUCCAAUUUACAAACUCCGGGAUAGGUUUAUUACUGAAACCGACCCAGCCAAAUCGAAUGGUCUGAAACCAACCAAUAGCCAAACUAACCAAACCAUAACCCUAUGAGUUCCAUAAUUAUUAUAUAUAAUCCCAAAAUAAAAUAGGAUGGAAUAACCAAAAAUACCAUCAAUCGGUUUCUACCCUAAUACCAAUGCCAAUUCUAAGGCCAACACCCCUACUGAUCCCGCCCAUUCCAACCUAUAGUAGUCCUACAAAAGCCUCUAACUAAAAGAAUACCAAAAUCUAGUUGGGACAUGCCCCCAACUAUAGCCAAAACCAUUAUCCAUAAAUGAACCGAAGUAUAAAAUAACAUUAAUGAAUAGAGCCUUCUAAGAAGAUGGAAGCUCACCACUUCAAUCUAGUACCAGAUAUCAAAUAUCUGAUAGCUAAGCAUGAAGAGUAGAAUGGUCGGUUCCUGUAUCGUGUGGGGAUAUAUUAGCUCGAAUAGAUACUGGUAUUAGCAUGCAUUUGAAACCAAAGUAAAACCAAGUAAACCAACCAUAUGCAUACAACCCAAACAUAUAAAUAUAUUACUAUGCCGAGAAAGGGAACUGGGUUUAGUAUGCAUUUAAAACCAUUAACCUAUGUAUGUGAACUUUAACUGUCCUUAACCACCUAUGAGCUAUGUGGGUCCAGUGUAAACCCCUGAACAGUCCCCGAUACUUGUAGCUGCAUGAAUUGGAGAUACUAUAAAAGUAAGAGAUUUCAAAGUACCCCCCCACACCAUAAUACAUAUGUACAAUGUACUUAGAGGAUUCCUGUGUACAUCAUAGUAUCAUAAAAGGGUCACCAUGUCGUUCUCCUAAUUUCGGAUAGCAUGAGUUUCCAGUGUUAGUUCAUGGAACUCCCAUUUCAUGGUUAGCUAUCAUACCCCACCAUUAUUUCCAAAUUAAAACUAUUUCCAACCAACUAAUCCAUUAUUCCAUUUAUUAUUUACCAAGGCUAUUAGUAGUGGUAUUGUGUUACCGACUCUAACUUGCAAGUAUUAUCCGUAGCUAAAACAUUUAAGCCAAAGGGAUUCCUAUGUACCCAUUUACCAAGUUAACUUGAGGGAGUACAAUAUACCUACAAGUGUUCUAUUAUUAAGUUGCUUAUGGGAGUCCCAUGUACCCCAUAAGGUUUUCAUUAACAUGUUUACUUGGGGAAUUUCAUUGUAACCAACAAGGAGUCCAAUUGACCAAAAAACCAUUUCAUUUAAACCAUUAAAAAUAAUUAAACCAUUUAGGGUUCCAUUAGCAAGUUUAAAUUAUGCCUAAGUAGCAUUAAAAUCCAACAAUGUAGUGAAAACAUUCCCAUAGGCAUUUUAUCAAACAUAUUGAGGGAAUAGAAUUUCCAAAGCCAAAGCCAAUUACCUAAUUUUCAUUCCCAUGAAAUAAAUUAUCCAAAAACACCAUUAAAGCAUAAUUAAAGCAUAGGAAAACCAUAACCAACCAUUUAUAACCAGAACCUCCAAAUUAUACUUGGAAAUCCAAAACCUUACAAUAAUCAAACCAUGAAAACAUUGCAUAAAACCAUGCCUUAAGUUGUAAAUAACAAUGAGGGAAAAUAGAAUGCCUUAAACCAAGAUAAUGAUAGAGAGAAAUCACCAACACAAGCCCCAAAUAAAUCCAUAAGAUGAAACCCUAUACUUUCUUUACCCAAAAUCCUUAGAGAGUAUUAAAGAGUGCUUAAGAGAAGUUUUAAAGUGUUAAUGAAUAGAAAAAUAAGAAAAAUAACCUCAUAAUUGUAAUAUAUGUCAUUGGGCUUUAUUUAGGGUAAGUAGGAAAAUGUCCAGAAUACUCUCACUUAAGUUGCAUAAAAUCCCUUUAGGUGGGUACAACUAUCCUUACAAGUCGUACCCUCUAAUAUGUGUGGUAUCCACCACUCAUACCAAAGUCCAUCUCCCUGGGAACCAACACAAUGUAAGGUACAAAUCACCCCAAACCAUGUCUAUCCAAGUACAUGACUAGUACCCAUGAUCCGUACCCCUAGCUAAAUAGAAUCCUAAGAGGAUUGAACACUAACCAAUAUGUGAGUCCAUAGUACGAUUCAUACCCUAUAUUAUGGCUCAUGGCGAGCCACCCGUACUUAGAUCCAACUUAAGUUACCUAUUCUAAGGCUAAAUAAAGUAGCCAAAGAACCCGUAUCUACCGAUAUGACUCAUACCAACCAAGCCGUACCCAAUCUAAAAACCAAAUCUAACCCACCAACAAACACUAGUCAGCAUACGAUUAACCCAUACCACUCGUAUCUUAGUGUAUAAUUCAUUUACCUAGUCUUAUCCUGUCUAGGGACCAGUAAUCAAAGAAAUUUUCCAAGGGCCGAGAACCCAGGGACCUAAGGUAUUUCAAUUUACAUGGUAUGAAGAUUAUUUUUGUGGCUAUUAAUUAUGUUUUAGAAUUGGUAGAAGUAGAUGCUCUUUCAAGCAAUACAGGGAAAAGUGUCACAAUAUUCUUGAAUAAGAACAUAUUUUCUAGGUUUAAGAUUAUAAGGGUUAUCAUUAGUGAUGGAGGCUCAGAAUUUUUCAAUAUUCUACUCAAAGGUUUUCUUGAGAAAUAUAAUGUGAAACAUAAAGUGGCAACACCAUACAAUCCACACAUAAAUAGGCAGGUUGGAGUCUCCAAUUGCGAGAUCAAUUCUAUCUUAGCAAAAUACUGUGAAUGCCAAUAAGAACGACUGGGUAGUAAAGCUGGAUGACACACUAUGGGUUUAUCAAACAACAUUCAAGACCAUUAUUAAUACUUCUCUAUAUAAUCUCCCAUAUGGUAAGGCAUUCCACUUGCCUAUCUAGCUUGAGUAUAAGGUAGUGUGGGGUUUGAAAAGGCUAACUCUGGAGUGGAGCAAUAUGGAAAAAUUAAGACUCGAGCAGCUAAAUGAGAUUGUUGAAUUUAGCCUUUUAGCCUAUGAAAGAUCUAUGUUAUAUGAAGAGAAGAUGAAGCUAUACCAUAAUGGAAAGAUUGAGAAGAAAGAAUUCACCAUUGCUGAUAUGGUAUUGCAUUUUGAAUUUAAGAUAAUAUUGUUUAGGGAAAUUUGAAGUCAGAGUGGGGAAGACUAGAUAGAGUUACUAGAGUUCUCCCCUAUGGUGCACUAGAGCUGGGCCAAAAGUUCAAGGUUAUUGACUAAAGUUUAAAAAACUAUCUACGACCAAUUAUAAAGAUAAUGUGGUAUUUGAUGUUGAUUUAUAUGGUUCUCUAUAUAUAAAGAGCACCCAAUUCAUUCCACUAUGUUAAAUAAGGUGGUUUGCGAGAAGCAAUCCCUGGGAUUUUUGGUGAAGUUUGAGUAAAAAUUUUAGGCACAUCGUGCAACGGCAUUAAAUCAAGCACUUCUUGGGAGUCAACCCAUGAUAUCAUACUUUUAAAGUUAUAGGGUAAUAUGUGUUAUUGUCCAGGGUUUGUAAAGAAAAGCAACUUUAGCAGUUAACUUAGUACUAAUCCCACUGAAGCUUAAAUUAUUAUGGGAAGAUCCCAUGAUCAUCAAUUCAGUUAUCUACACGCAAUUCACUAAAGUUCAGUGGAAUGAAUUUUAAGAGUUAUUUGAAGAUUGGUCAUUGUGAUCGUACCUAACAACUGGGUACUAAUUGUCCUAUUAUACUUUUUAAAACACAUGUGUAGGACAUUGAGCUUAUGAUUUUGAGAAAUGAGUUUAGGUACAUAGCUCAAUCAUUCUAAAGGCUUGUACGUUCGUUGUUAAGUAUUCUUGAACCCUUUUAGUAUUACAAGGAGUUACAGUUAUGGUUUCAUACCAGCAUCAUAGGUACAACUUGUUUGACUGAUAUUCUUAAAUUAGUAGGAUGCGAUCUAACCCAACAUGAAUAGGGUUUAAACAUCUAAAACCUAUACCUAAGACUCGAUCGACAUUUCCCAAUCAUUGUCAAUUAUUUUCACUCAUAGUUCCCUAAAAAUUAAAGUGAUCAAAAGAAAGAAAACUAAAAAAAUUAUUACCUUCGAUUCGCAUAAAGAAAGCUUCUUCUCAAAGUCAUUUUUGUAAAACUCCUAACACCUAAAUUUGCAAGAAAUCAAGUAUGUGCACUACUCAUAACCAAUUAAUAUUAUAUUUUUUAUAAAUAAACAAGUAAUGAAUCAAAACUUAAGUAAAUGGAUGUUGUAUUUAAAUGAGGGCAAUAAAAUCAGUGUUAUGAAUGAGUGUCUCAACGAAGAAAAUCAAUGGGGAUAUCUAAGUACCUAUUACUACUAAUAUUGUGUCUCUGUAAGUCAAAAAGUUGAGUCAAAGAUUGUGUUUGAAUUUUGUAAGUGUCAGCACACUCCACGACAGAAACUACAAUCAUGGUAUCUAGAUAAAAUUGUAGGUUGGAUUACUAUGGAGGUAUUAAUGUCUAAGUUAUGAGUGGUCAUUAUAGGAGUACAUCCAACGAUUAUCAUAUUAUGUUGAGGUUAUGGUAUGUAGUCAUCUGAUGUAACAUACCCUCAGUACAUUGAGGUUGUUCCUACGAUAAAAGGGGAUGAUUAUACCUUUAUUGCAUGAUUAUAGAAUGGGUUUAUCUGAUAUGAUGUUUCACCAUUACUUUUGGGGGACCCUUCAUAUAAUCAGAAAUAUGAGUGUACCUUUAUUACACGAUCUUACAAAAGGUCGUCUGAGAGAUUUCCUACACCUGUAUUAAUAAUUUAAUAUUGAGAAUAAUCAUUGUUUAUAAAGUUACUAACACCCUAAAAUCACUCAAAUAGAUGCAAGAAAAGGAUAUUCAAGUAAAGAUUUCUAAGCAAAUGGAACAAAAAGAAACACCUAGAGUCUGAGAGAAUGAGUCAUACAACUUAAUUGGUACUUAGGUGGAGUAUUCUUCAAGCUCCUGGAAUGACCAACACCCACCUUGGAUCACGAGAGCUAAGGCCUAGGAGAUUGAGAAAGCCAAGGCCAUAACAUCAACAACCUUGAUAGAAGCUUCUACCCAUCUCAAACUUCCCUUAUCUAAAGAGGAUGGGAAAAAUAUAAACUAGGAUGGGGGUAAAAAUAGUAAACAUAAUGAGGUUGAUGCAGAUAUGAGAUCAUCUGAGGGUGUGGAAGAUUCAAAUCUCAAAUAAUUGAAAGGACCUUCUAGGAAUUUCCAUCAAAGGGGUGUUUACAUGCGGCAGUAGAGUGUGCCAAACUAUUGUGAUUACAAUAUUGAUAGGAUCUUACUGAAUGACAAAACAAAUAUGAAGAAUAUCCCAAAAUAUCCCCAAAUCUUAUCGUAGUCAUCUCAAAAAAUCCCAUAUUUAGUGUAUGUAUUUAAGAGGUAUGAGCUUAGUUGGAUGAUUAGGCCACCUAUAUAUUAUAUCCCAGAGUUGGUGAGGGAUUUCUAUGCAAACUAUGCAGCCAUAAUCAAGAACAUGACUCCCUUAAGCAACAAAAAUGAUAUUAUAAAGCAGCCUUGAUUGGAUAUAUUAUGAUUUUUGGAACAUGUGGUUGAUAUUUCCAUCAUGGCUAUCUUUAAUGCAUUGUUUGAAACCACUUUUAAGUGAACUAGGUAGACUCUUGAAUAUUAUUUUCAAAUUAAUAACUCAAAAAUUGUGAAAAAAAUUUUCGUCAAUGAUAAGUUAAUAGACUAUGAGUGGUUGGAGAACCACAUUUUAGAGGUUAGAAAAAAACACCAUUGAUCAAUGUGGCAAAAAUAUAUAAGCAUAAAUUAAGGUUCACUGCCAAGGCUUAGGUGUCUAUUAUGAGGCACUGCAUUGCACCAACCACCAAUGAUAACAUAUUUGGUUUGACUUAUGUAGGCCUGGAAGCUACUUUUAUAUCAAAAUUAGAGUUGAACAUCCCACAAAUCAUUACAGAGAAGAUUCAAGAUAGGGUGCUCCAAUUAAACACCAUAUUGCCUUUCCAAUGUCUUAUCACUCAAUUUCUACAAAAUACCCACAUACCUACAAAUGUCUUAGGUUAUAUUCUCUUAUUUAUCUGCUUCUUGCAUUUAUUUACUUUGUAAGGUUAGGCUUACCUACCAAGGUUAGGAAAGGAUAGGUGCCCUCAUGACCUUGCCUCUGGGUCAUGACAAUUGGUAUCAUAACUUUAGAUUCACUAGUCUCGUGAGUAAAGAUCCCGAUGUCUAAUCAUAGCUCAUGGAUUGAUACACGAAUGUCUUAUCUAUCCUCGAGAGGCUAUGGAGUGUCUUAAUAAAAUUCUCUAAUUAAAUUCCUGAUCAUUCAUGUUUUUCUUACCUAUUUUUUUUAAAAUAUAUCUCAGUACUUCUAUGAAGAUAGCAAGCAGACCUUGGUAGAUCUGAUUGAGUUAGAUAUGGUGGAUUUUGAUAUUUUUCUGUGGAUAGAUUGGCUACAUUCUUGUUAUGUGUCCUUAAAUUGUUGGACCUGUAAGGUUGACUUUAGGUUCCCUGGUGAACUGAUUAUAGAGUGGGAGGGUAGUUCCCUAGCUCCUAGGGGGAUGUUUAUUUCUUAUCUUAGAGAUUAAUAUCCAAAGGGUAUCUUUAUUACUUAGUCUGAGUUAAAGAUUCUAACUCAGAGGGUCCUUCUAUUUACUCAAUUUUGGUGGUAAAUAAGUUUCCUAAGGUUUUUCUCGAUGAUCUUCUGGUGUUCCUCCUGAGAGGGAAAUUGAGUUUUGUAUUGAUUUGGUUCUAGACAUUCAUCCAAUAUUUAUUCCUCUUUGUAGAAUGUCUAUGGCUGAGUUAAGGGAACUCAAGGAGCAACUUAAGGAUAUUCUAGAUAAGGGGUUUAUUCAUCCUAGUGUAUCCCCGUGGGGUGCACCGAUGUUGUUCGUGUAUAAAAAGGAUGGUUCCUUUCAUAUGUGCAUCAGCUAUCGGUAGUUGAAUAAGGUAACAGUCAAAAACAAAUAUCCUCUUCCAAGGAUAGAUAACUUGUUUGAUCAGUUGCAAGGUGCCAAGUUCUUUUCUAAGAUAGACCUUCGGUCUGGUUAUAAUAAACUUAAUAUUAGGGAGGAGAAUAUCCCUAAGAUGACUUUUCAUACUUGGUAUGGGCACUUUGAAUUCUUUGUUAUGUAAUUUGGCUUGACUAUUGCCCUAGCGACAUUUAUGAAUUUGAUGAACAUGGUUUUCAGGCAGUUUUUGGAACUUUUUAUCAUUAUGUUCAUUAAUGACAUCUUGGUGUAUUAUAAAAGUGAGGUAGAUUAUCCUAAUCACCUAUGUGUAGUAUUUUAGUAGUGUUUUUUUCUUUGAAAAUUUGUCAUUGGAGUGUAUGUAGAUAUCUUCUCUGAUCAUAAAAGUUUCCAGUAUAUGUUCACUCAAAAGGAGCUAAAUCUUAGGUAGAGGAGAUGGUUGAAGCUUGUCAAGGACUAUGACAUGAGUCUUCAUUAUCAUCCAUAUAAGGCUAAUAUUAUUGCUAAUGCUCUCAGAAGGUUAUCCAUAGAGAGUUUAUCUCUUGUUUAUAGGGAUAAGCAGGAAUUAGUGAAGGAUUUUAUAGCUUGGUUAAUCUUAUAAUUUGUCACAUGGACUGUAAGGAUUGUAGUAUAUUGGUACAAGAAGCAGUUUGAUCGUCUCUUGGUGCAAAGAUUAAGGAGAAGCGAGUAUUAUUCCUAUCUUGAUGAAAAUAAAGAAUGAUGUUGGUGGGAAAAGGUAAUGGUAUUCAAGAUCAGUGGCGAUGGUACUUUAUGGUCCAAGGGAGGUUAUGUGUUCCUGAUGUCGAUGGGUUGCGACAAAGGAUUUUGGUUGCGGUUCAUGAAUCACGCUAGUUUGUUCAUCCCGACUUGACAAAGAUGUAUCCUGAUCUCAAAGAUUUAUAUUAGUGGAAUGGUAUUAAAAGGGUUAAGGCUGAUUUUAUUUCCAAGUGUUUAUUAUGUCAACAUGUACAAGUUGAUCACAUAAGGCCCAGAGGGUUGUAUCAAGAAAAUAAUUUUUUCGAGUGGAAAUAGGAGGUGAUCAAUAUGGAUUUCGUUAUUAGACUUUCUCAGUCACAGAACUAAUUCAAUUAAAUUUUGGUCAUCGUGGAUAGGAUAACAAAGUCUUCUCACUUUUUGCUGGUGAGGACUACUUUUCUAAUGGAGGAUUAUGUGAAGUUGUAUCUUCAGGAUAUUUUAAAGCUUCAUAAUGUACCUUUUCAAUUAUCUCCAAUUGUGGUACGCAGUUUUUAUCCCAUUUCUCACGGUUUUUCUAGAAGGGAUUAGAUACUAAGGUGAGUCUGAGUACUAUAUUUUAUCCUAGACAGAUGGGUAAGUGGAGAGGACUAUUCAGACAUUGGAGGAUAUGCUUUGGGCAGAUGUGAUUGAUUAUGGUGGCAAUUGGGUUGAGCAUCUACCUUUGGUAGAGUUUUCUUAAAGCAAUAGGUACCAGUCUAGUAUUCAUAUUGCCAUUUUUGAUAAAUUGUAUGGUAUGAGGUGUAGACCUUCUAAUAGAUGGUUUGAGCUUUGUAAGGCUAGCAUGUUUGGUUUGAAUUUGGUUUAUCAUGCUAUUAAAAAGGUGAAGGUGAUUCGGGAUAGGCUUAAGGCUACCUAAAGUUUCCAAAAGUCUCAUGUAGAUGUAAGAAGUAGAGAUUUGGAGUUUGAAGUUAUGAACAAGGUAUUCCUAAAGGUAUCUUCCAUAAAGGGAGGGAUGCAGUUUUGUAAGAAGGGGAUUUUAGUUCUCGGUUUUUUGGUCCCUAUACGAUUUUGGGAAGAGUUUGUAGUGUGGCUUAUGAAUUGGAGUUGCCUUUUAGCUCGAGCUUUAUUCAUCCGGUAUUAUAUGUCUCAAUGUUGAGGAAGUGUCUUUGUAAUCCUUGUUUGGUGGUUACCUUGGAGGGAUUGGAUAUCUCUGAUUCUUUAUCUUGUGAAGAGGUCUCUAUUGAGGUACUGGCUCAGGAGGUUCAUUGGUUGCAGAUUAAGGAUGUGGCCUCGGUUAAGGUUCUAUGGCAGAACCACAAGGUGGAAGAGGCUACAUAGGAAGCAGAGGAGGACAUGAAUUCCAAGUAUCCACAUCCAUUUUUUGCUUCUGGGAUUCAUACGGAAGGUAUGUGUUCCAAAACACAUCUUAAUUUUUAGAGUUUGAUAUUUGACAAUGCAAAUGAAUCGUGUUUUGGGUUAGCCUACCUUGUUCUUCAUUCGGGGAUGAAUGUUCCUAAUGGGGAAGAUUUAACCACCCUAGGUCCCUGGGUUCCUGGGCGUUGGAAAAUUUUCUCGAUUUUUGGCCUCUGGACAGGAAACGACUAAGGUAAACAACUCGUAAACUGGGAUACGAGUUGUCUGGGAUAGUCGUAUGUUGAACAAUAUUGGUUGGUGGGUUGGAUUUUGUUUCUGGAAUAGGUAUGACUUGGGUAGUAUGAGUUGUAUUGGUGGAUACAUGUUGUUUGGUUACUUUACUUAGUCGUAGACUUAGUAACUUAAGUUGGAUGUGAGUAUGAGUGGAUUACCAUGAGUUGUAAUCCAAAUCACGAGUCGUACCAUGGACCGCAUGGUGGUUAGUGUUCAAUCCUCUUUGGAUUCUAUUCAGCCAGGGGUAUGGAUCAUGAGUACUAGUUGUAUACUUAUAUAAGACAUGGUUUGGGGUGAGUCGUACCUUGGACAAUAUUGGUUCUAACGGAGAUGGCCUUGGGUACGAGUGGUGGGUACCACUCGUAUUGGAAGGUACAACUAGUAUGGAUAGUUUUAUCCAUCUAAUUAGAUUUCUGGGAGGUUAAGUGAGGGCAAUUUGGAUAUUUCCCCGCUUAACCUUAUAUGGCCCCAUGACUUAUAUUUCUAUUGGGAGGUUAUUUAUCCUAUUAUUCUAUUUAUUAAGACUUAGAAACUUUUGUUAAACACUUUUCAAUUCUCUCUAAGGCAUGGUUUUAUACAAUCUUUUAAUGGUUUGGGGAUUGUGUUGGUGAUUCUCUCCAUUAUCUUCUUGGUUUAAGGCAUGUUCUCUUAUCUCAUUGUUAGUUCCAACUAAAGUCAUGAUUUUAUAAAAUGUUUUCAUGGUUUGAUUGAUGUAUGGUUUUGGAUUUUUAAAUAUAAUUGUGGGAUUUGGUUAUAAAUGCUUGGUUUUGGUUUUUCGUGUUUUAAUUAUGCUUUUAUAUGAUUUAAUGGUGGUUUUGGAUAAUUUUUUUCAUAGGAAUGGUUAUUUGGUAAUUGUGUUUGGUUUUAGAAAUACUAUGACUCUAAUGUGUUUGAUAAAAUACCUAUUCGGAAUGUUUUCACUACAAUGUUGAAUUUUAAUGGAACUUAUGCAUGGUUUAAACUUCGUAAUGGAAUCCUAAAUGGUUAAAUGGUUUGAAAUAGUAGAAAUGGAAUGGUUAGGUGGUCACGAUUAUGGAUAAUUGGACUCCUUGUGGGGUACAAUGGAAUCCCCCAAGUAAACAUCUUAAUGAACAACUUCUGGGGUAUAUGGGACUCCCACAUGCAACUUAAUAAUGGAACACUUGUUGGGAAUAUUGAACUUGCCCAAGUUAACUUUGUAAUUUGGUGCAUUUGAAUCCCUUUACCUUAAAAGGUCUGGCUAAGGACAAUAUUUUCAAGUUAUAGUUGGUAACACAAUACCACUACUCAUAACCUUGGUAAAUAAUAAAUGGUAUGAUGGAUUGGAUGGAUGGAAAUGGUUUUAAUUGGUAAAUAAUGGGGAGGUAUGAUAGCUAACUGUGAAAUGGGAGUUCCAUGAACGAACACUGGAAAAUCAUGUUUGCCGACAUGAGGGGUAGGGCAUGGAAACCCUUUUAAGAUACUAUGAGGUAUGCGGGAAUUCUCUAAGUAUAUUGUACAUAUGUAUCAUAGAGGGUGGGGAUACUUGGGAAUCCCUUACUCUUAUGGUAUCUCUGUUUCAUGCUGCUACAUGAGUAGAGGCUCAUUCAGGGGGUUACACUGGAUCCAUAUCGCCCAUAGGUGGUUAAGGACGAUUAAGCUUCACAUACCCAGGUUAAUGGUUUUAAAUGCUAGCUAAACCCAAUUCCCUUUCUCGGCAAGGUUAUAUAUAUAUAUUGUUUGUAUGCCUAUGAUAUGUUUACUUAAUUUUACUGGUUGGUAUUAUUUUAUCCUUAUCCUGAGUUCGUGCUUGAGUUCACCGAUUAACCCGUCUUUGAGCAGUUGUAUCUCCACACGAUUCAAUAAUUAUCCAUUCUACUCCUUUUGCUUAACAAUUUAACAUUUGGGAUCAACUACUGGAUUGAAGUGGUGAGCUUCCAUCUUUUUGAAAGGCAACAUUUCAUGGUGGUUACUGUAUACAUUUGUUCAUUUAUGGAUAUUGGUUUUGGCUAUAGUUAGGGGCAUGUCCCAAUAAGAUUUUGGUAUUCUUUUAGUUAGAGGAUUUUGUGGGACUACUAUAUGUUGGAAUGGGUGGGAUCAGUAGGGUUGUCAUCCUUAGUAUUACCGUGUGUAUGGGGCAGAUACCGGUUAGCGGUAUUGUUGGUUGUUCCAUCCUAUUUUAUUUUGGAAUUAUAUAUAAUUAUUAUUGAACUCAUAUGGUUAUGGUUUGAUUGGUUUUGAUAUUGGUUGGAUUCGGAUGGUUGGAAUUGGUUGGGUUAGUCUCAGUAAUACACCUAUCAGUGGUUGUAAAUUCGAUAGGUACGCUAUCUUGUUAUAUGCUCAAAAUUCAGUCAACUCAAGGAAGGCGUCUAGAGGUUGGGUUGGGUAACGGUGGUAGUAUCCGGUCUCGGGCAGACUUGGGAUGCCCAUUAUGAUAAGGCCCCGGUUCAGGUCAUGUCAUAAACUCAUAAAAGGGCCUAUGAAUCAAUGCCUUAUACAUCAAACAACUUAACCUCCAGAAUAGUGGUCAUUGGAAGCUCUCGCCUUCAUGAGAUAUUUCCUUGCCUUUAGCAUUGCUCACAUACCUUGUCUUAAUCGUAUGCGUCUUUGUAAAAUGGAGGCCAAUAGUAUCCACAUUGCAAGAUCUUAUAUGCAAUCCACACACCAUUAUGGUGACCCCUAACUAAAGACAAAUGACAUGCCUCUAAGUUGCUCAUCAUCUCAACUUUAGGAACACAUCUCCACACCACUUGAUCGACCCAAUUUUGGAAUAAGUAUGGCCUAUCCUAUAAGAAUUUCCUUACAUCAUAUAUAACUUUGUUGGGUUGAUGAAAUGAUAAGUCUCCAGGAACCACAUAACUCAACAUAUAAUUUACAAAGUCUCCAUAACAAGGAAUCCAAUCUUGUGACACUGCUAACGACUGUUCUUUCAAAAAAAUAUCAUCAAUCUAAAGCUUAUCUUUCAGUUUCAGCGUAGCCAUUUCUUCAUGUUGUGAUAGUUAGUCGUCCACUUGAUUCUUUGUGCCCUUUCAAUCAUUGACCUCAAAGUCAAAUUCCUGUAGCAAAAGUAUCCAAUGAACAAAUCUUCACUUCAAAUCUUUCAUUGACAGAAGGAACCUAAGAGCAAUAUGGUCCGUAUACACAAGGACUUUUGUGCUAAGAAAAUAAGAUUGAAAUUUCUAAAAAGAAAACACCAUAACAAGCAUCUCUGUAUAGUCACAAUAUAAUUUUUCUGAGCUGAGUUCAAUGCUUUGCUAGCAUAGUAAAUAGGAUGUAAGAUCUUCUCUAACCUUUGGCCUAGGACUGCACCUAACACCACAACAACAGCAUCACACGCAACCUCAAAAAUUAAUGACCAAUCAAGAUAAAAAAUAAUACUGGAUAGAAUCAAUAUCUGUUUUAGGCACUCAAAUACCUUUAGAUGUUUAUCAUCAAACACAAAUUUCACCUACUUCUCAAAAAGGUAACACACAAAAUUGGUAAUUUUAGAGAAGUCCUUGAUGAAUUAUCUAUAGAAGUCUACAUUCCCCAAAAAUCUUUGAAUACCCUUGACAGAAAUUGGUGAAGUCAAAUUUUCACUCACCUAAAUAUUUGCGUUAUUGAAUUCAAUCCCAUUCUUCAAAAUCUUAUGACUAACAACUAUUUAACCAUGAAGUGACACUUCUCCUAAUUUAAAACUAAUUUCCUCGCAUCUACUCUAAACAUUGGCGGGACAUCUCAAAUAAUCUAUGAAUGAAUCACCCAUGAUCAAGAAGUGGUCUAUGAGCACCUCAAUAUUGUCCUCAACCAUAUUAGAAAAUAUCAUCAUCAUGCAAUUCUAAAAGGUUUCAGGUGCAUUACAGAAAAUGAAAGGCAUUCUCUUGAAUGCACAUAUCCUAUAUAUACUAGUGAAAAUGCUACUCGAGAGCAAUAGAAAUCUGAUUAUAACCCAAUUAUCCAUCAAUAAAAUAAUACCAACCUCUAUCAGCAAGUCGAUCUAAUAUCUAAUCCAUUAAAGACAAUGGAAAAUGAUCUUUCUUAUUUCAAGAGUUUAGAUUCCUAUAGUCUAUACACACACACCAACCCGUGACUGGACUCACUAGAAUAUGCUCAUUCUUCUCAUUUCCAACCAUGGUUAUUCAACUUUUUUUCUGUACCUAUUAGACCAGGAUAACCUACUUGUUUUCUGAAAUCAGAUAAACCACACACGUUUCCAACUAUUUGUAGACUGCUCCUUUACCUGCUCUUGUAUAGGCAUAUUCAACCACAAUUGAUCGUCAAUAAUAAAUAUAGAAUCUACAUUAAUUUGUAUUUUUUGUGUGCAAAUUCCAGGAGAAAUCCUAAUGAUAUUAGAACUACACCAUCCAAUGGCCCACUUGAACCUCUUCAAUAUAGAAACUAGAGCCUCAACUUACCAAUCUACAAAAUAAUCUACAAUAAUAACUAGUAAAGUGUUGUUGGCUCUAAAAAAUGCAUAGCAAAGAUAGUAUGGAAGAGCUUUGAGCUCCAACACUGGGGGCUGCCUAAUCGAAGGCCGAGAUAGAGGUGUCACUCUAUUCUUUAAAUCAAGAUCUAACUUCAUUUAUGCAAACGUAUAUGAACUCUAUUCUAUCUAUAUAUUUAUAUUCAUCAAUUCCAUCAUGCUCAAAACUCAAAUUGACUGCAACCAGGUCAUAAACACCAAUUCUCCUCAAUAGGAGCUACGAAGUCAUCCUCAUAGAACACACAUAUUCUUUGGGUUCUUUAUGCAUUGGAACACACUGAACGUAACUUGUUCAUUAUUCAACCAAAACAUCAUUUGCCCAGACAUAGGUAAUAGUUUCCCAAAGAUAAUGGGAACCGUAAAUCAAUCUCAUUAUUGAGGAUGAGAAACUCUUUUUUAAAGAUAAAGAGGCAACACUCACAAAAAUAUCACAUAACAUUCCCACCACCUUCUUCAUAGUGAAAUAUUCCAUGAGAAGUCUCAUCAAAGUAGAUUUAGGUGCCCCCAGCUAUAACUCUCUAUACAAUGCUAGAGGUAUCAAGUUAAUGCUAGUGGUCAAGUCACAUAACAAUUUUUCAAAGUUAAAAGGCACAAUAGUGCUUGGGAUCGUGCAGGUUCUGGGGUCUUUUUUCUUCUCAAUCAACAACCUAGAGCCUAUUGGACAAGAAUGGUGAACAUAGUCAAUAGUCUCAUUACUCACUAUCCUUUUCUUAGUCACCAAAUCCUUUAGCUCUUUAAGCCUAAAAACAAACUUUUGAUACCUUCCCUCUUUGACUUUCUUUUUUAGUAUUUGCAAAAAAGGAAGAAGAGGUUGUGGAAUAGGAGUCAAUACUUGCGGGAACUUCUAGUCCUUGCCUUUUUUUCUAUGGCCUAAUUUUUAUGUAAAAUGGCAAGGGGUCAUGAUGGUACUUGUCGCUGCGAACAUUGACAAGUAAACCUAUCACAAAAAUUGAUAAAAAUGGGAAAUAAUACUUAAAUCCCAAGGUAACGCUUCUAGAAUGAAGUCUAACCAUAUAAGUGUAAUAAUGUAUAAAGGAACAUAGAUAAUAACAAUACCAUAAUGCCCCAAAACCCUAUCUCAAUAGUGUAAGAUCAUAUCUAAUACAACUCGAAUACAAAUAAAAUACAUAUAGCAUUAAUAAUAUAUGAGAAACUCUAUCUCUGAAAUGAAAUCAAAGGCAUAGUCUAUAAAGAAAGGUAGUAAAAGACAUUCGUAUUCCUAAAAAUCACCUACUACCUCAAAAACUCCAAAUACUACUAAAAUUAAAUAAUGUAGGGUGCACCCAAACCUGAAUCUACAUCAAAAAGCUAUAGUUGAAGUGAGUAUGAUCCACUCAUACUCAGUAAGUACUAUAGGUUGACCGAGCAAUGUUUAAAAUAAAGCAUACAAGAUACACAUUAAGGGAACAUCACUUGCAAUUAGAAAAUGUCCCACAAUAGUAGCCCACACCGCUUGCUCUAAAAGUACAAUAAUAUCACAUAUAUUUCAACACACCAAAAGGAUCGCAGAUAUACAAUACAACACAUAUAGGUAGAAUAAAGAAGAACAGUGUAUAUAUACACAAGAUCAUCAAGUACAUGUAUAGCAAUAUAUAACAAAUAGAUAAGUAAUUAUGUCAAAUAAAAUAUAAUCACAUCACAAGCAUAAUGAAGUAGAUAUAGUAAGAAUGAUGAUAAUGAUGAUGACUAUGAUGAUGGUGAUGCACGAGGUUAUCGAAAAACCUUCAAGAGCAUCGCGAAGUCUCUAUAUUAUCAUGAGUUGAACUAGGGCCUGGCCAUGAUAGGUAUCUCAAGUCCCACGUGGACCAAAGAUCACCCUCACAACUAACCAAACCAAACCAAGAAUUCCCUAAGGACGGAUGAAUUCCAAACAUAUAACAAGAUAGUGUGCAAUAAACAUAAAAAGUUCAAAACCAAUUUAUAACUGAUGACCGGUGACCAGCAAAACAACUGACCAACACCGCCAAUAUCCAUAGUAGUCCAAACAAAGCCUUCAAAGCAAAGAACAAAAAUGAAAUAUCAAUGAAUUUUUGCGACAUGCCUCUGACUACAGCCAAAAACAUCUGAGACAUAACAGACCAAAACAUGAAAUGUAGACUUUUGAUGUAUAGAAGCUCACCCUUUUGAAAUAAAGUCACGAGCUGAUCCUGAAUCCUAAUCACUGAGAAGGAGUUGUAGAAGUAUAACCAUUUCCUUUAUCGCAUUGGGAUACAACGUCCUAAGAUGAUUAGUGGUUGGAGUACUAGCAUGUAACUAUGCAUAAAGUUAACACAAUGACAUGGUCAAUAGUUCAAACUCAUUCAAAACCAAUGUACACAAUUAAAUGCAUAUACAUAUAUAAAUUACAUACUAGGAUAGGAAAUGUCACGACUGAACUAAGGUCUAGAUGUUAUGGGCAUCCCAAUUCUAACUAGGACCAGGUACCACUCCCUUAACCUAACCCAACCACCUUUCACAACCAUAGAUGAGCAGAAUUUUAAGCAUAUACCAAGAUUUCGUAAAUGCUCUCACAAAAACUCUGGGAUAUGGUCACAAUAGUGACCAACCAAACUGAGUCUACCAACACCAAACUAACCAUCCAUACCAUACAAAACUAAAAAGAAUAUCAAAACAUAAUAUGACAAUGAAACCCAAAAUGUAAUACCAUAGAAUAACCAAAAAUAUUGUCCAAUGAUGUCAUCCCCAAACCAAUGCCAAUGCUAAGGCCAACACCAAUACCGAUCCCGCCCAUACCAACACUUAAAGUACAACAAAGCCUUUAUCCAAAAGAAUACAAAUAUCCAAUUGCGACAUGCUACAAACCAUGGCUAAAAACAAUAUCCAAAAUAAUAGAGAAAUACCUAAGAUUGUCUAUAUCAUGAAAUAGAGCUUUUUAGAAAGAUGGAAUGUCACUACUUAAAUCCAAAUAUUGUCCCCGAGUCAAUCACUAUGUAGAAGAAUUUGAAAUGCCAGUUCCUACAUAACGUGGGUAUACAACCACUAAUAUACAAGUUAGCAAAUGACUGCUAGCAUGUAUCUCAUGAUAAGGAUAAAGUAAUGCCUUUUAAAACACCAAGUAAAAUCAUCAAUGAUGUGUACAACCAUACAUCUAUAUAAGUGCAGAGAAAGGUAAUCAAAGUUUAGCAUGCAUUUAAGACCUUUAACUUGGGAUUUGUAACCUUGUCAUUUAACCACUCCUACGGGUCAUAUGGGUUCAGCUCCCCCUGCUAAAAGAGCCCAGUGUGUUUAGCCACAGGACCAGGAAAUUUCCCAUGGGAUGACUAGUACAUCACUCUAAUAUAAAAUGUGACACUCGCACGUGGUCAUCAAAGACCCCUCAUAUCAGCAAAUAUGAGUUUCUAAUUUUAGUUCCACCAAAACCUCCACCUUUCAUUGCUUAGUUACACAUCCUGCUGUUAAUUCCCCAAUUAUAAACCAUGUUCAAACAAUCCUAUUACCAUUUAUUAACAAAGGACAAUUAUUAACGGUAUCGUCAUACUAACCAUACUUGCAAGAUUUAUCCAAUGCUAAACCAUUUAGGUUAAGCGGACUCUUAAGUUCCCUUUUUGUUUACCAUAUUAACCUCUUGGGAGACUACCAUGUCCUCAACAAUCAUAAUUAAUUUUCCUUUAACCUUUGUAAGUUAUUUAAACCAUUUAUAGUUUCGUAUAUAAGCUGAAAACAAGCAAGAGUUUUAUUUAAAGAAGUCAAUGAAAUGAACAUAUCUUUAUAAGCAUUUUGUCAAACACCUUGGGGGCAUAAUGUAACCAAAACCAAUUCCAAAGACCAUUAAACCAUUAACAUGCAAUACAAUUUCCCAAAACCAUAAUUGAUGCAUAUAAAAGGAUAAUUAAACUGUAGGAAACCAUAACCAAGCUACUAUAAACUAAACCCAUAAUUAAUAGUUGAAAACCAUAAAUAAUGCUACAUUGAGAGCAUGAAAAUAUCCAUAAAAUACAUGCCUUUUAAAAAGUAAGAAGUUGGGAAGAUAUAGAUGCCUUAAACUGAGAAAGAUGAUGGAAAAAAGUCACCAAAACAAGCCCCAAAGGAAUCCCUAAGUUGAAACCCUAGCUCUCUUACCCCAAAAGCUCUUGAGAGAAUUAUGAUGUGUUUUGAAAUAUUUUUCUAAGUGUUAAUAAAUAGAAUAAUAGGGUAAAUAACCUCCUUAGUGUAUUAGAGUCGUGGGUCAUAAUUAGGCUAAGUAGGGAAAUGUCAAAAAUACCCCACUUAAGUCACUUAAAAACCCAUUACAGGGAUACGACUGACUCUCUUAUGAGUCGUACACUUCCUCAUGAAUUAUUUCCACCAGUCAUACCCUGGACUUAACCUUCGGAUUAGACAUUGUCCAGCAUAUGAUUCAUUUAACCAAGUCGUAACCUCACCAUAUGAUCCAUACCCAUGAUCUGUAUCCCUGGAAGAAUGAAUUACAAGGAGGAUGAAAUAAUGCCCACCAUACGAGUUACCGAUCUAACUUGUAUCAAUCGUUAAGACUCACACCCCUAAGUAAUGAACAUUUCAGUGAUCAAAACCAUCCCACUAACUAACACUGGUCAGCUUAUGACUAGGCCAUACCACUCGUACUCCACCUACGGCUCAUACCCGCAGUCGCAUUAGGUGUGGAAAAUGAAUUUCACGGAAAAUUUCUCUGGCCCAAACCCAGGAUGUAACAUUCUCCACCACUAGAAAGAUUCAUCCUCGAAUGAUGGAUAAGGUAGGGAUAACCACACACAGAGACCUUUGAAUUAUCAAACAUAUUCACAACCUUCAUCAAAGUUUAAAAACAUAGAGGCAAGGGUAUUAAUCUUUUCUUUAAUAUACUCAAAAAAUAUCAAAGUGCUCAAGAACCCAUACUUUUCGUAAGAAUACAAGGAGAAGUAAACAAGAAUGGAUACUUAGAUUCCAUGUCCUCUUUCUCUUCCCAUGUAGCUUCUUCUACCUUAUGGUUCUUCCAUAGAACCUUAAUCGAAGACACAUCCUUGGUCUGCAAGUGAGGAACUUACUUAUCCAAUAUCUCAAUCGAGACCUCUUCCUAAGAUAGAUAAUCCAAGAUAUCCAACCCUUCCAAAGGAACAAUCAAAGAAGGAUUACCAAUACACUUUCUCAACAUGGAAAUAUGAAAGAUCUGAUGAACGAAACCCAAAUUAGAUGGAAACUCCAACACAUAAGCAACAUUACCAACUCUCUGGGAAAUCACAUAAGGAAAAAUAAAUGAAGGACUAAGCUUCCCCUUCUUUCGAAACCACACUACUCCCUUCAUUGGAGACACCUUUAGGAACACCCUAUCCCCAAUCUCACACUCCACAUCUCUAUGGCUAACAUCUAAAUAAGACUUUUAGUGACUUUGGGAAGCCUUAAUCUUAUAUAUAAUCAUGUUAACCUUAUCCAUAGUUUAAUAGACCAAAUCAGGACCAAACAUAUCCACCUCUUUAAGCUUAAACCAUCCAAUAGGAGAUCUAUACCCCCUGCCAUACAAUGCCUCAAAAGGAAUCAUAUCAAUAAUAGAAUAAUAGCUAUUAUUGUAAGAAAAAUCUACUAAAGAUAGAUGCUCAAGCCAUGUAAUACCAUAAUCAACCACAUAUUCCUGAAGCAUAUCCUCCAAUGUCUUAAUCAUUCUGUCUAUUUGCCUAUUCAAUUGCAGAUAAAAAUCUUACUCAGACUAACCGUAUUUUGCAAUCCUUUGUGGAAAGACCACUAGGAAUGAGAUGUAAACUUCUUACCACGAUAAGAACUAAUCAAAAUUGUAAGACCCUGCAAAAUCCUAAGAUUAAUUUAGUCCAUUUAUGCUUCUUAAGGGGGACCCAUACUUAGAAAGUUCUAGCUAAGUUUCCAAACUUAGUUUAUUUUAGCCCUCAAAAUUUUCCAGUCUCAUUUCAUGACUUUAAUGUCCUUUAAUGGUCCGUACUCUUGUUAAUUCAUGACCAGGAAGGUCAAUAGGUGUUCCUGGACAAGUUUUGAAUUUUUUGAAACUCGUUUAGACCAUAUUUAAAAUCCCAAAAUUGUAGACCAAUGCGAUCUUAGCGUGCUGCAUCACCAAUCAUGUGGGUUGAUAUUGUUGCAGGUUGCUAGAGUCAAAGUACUGAGGCUCAGCGUAAAAAUAGCGUAUUUCAUCGACUAUCAUAUUGAUGCCAUGACACGCUGCAUCGCUAAUAGGGUCGGUGCCCAGUUCUCAAUCAUUUAAAAGCCACGUCUUCUAUGUUAUUUCAGUCUUUUUCCCAUGCCCUUCAGCCCUCAUAACUCAAAAUUUAUCCCUCUUUUGGCUAAUUCUAUUCAUUAUUCACAAAAUUCUCAAGAACAAAACCCUAGGGCUAUCAGUUAAAGAAUCAAUUUCUAAGGGAUUCCACUAUUAACCCCAACUAAGGUAUGUCAAGUGUUCGUCCAAGGGUUUCUUCAACCCUUGGAGUCCAAAAAACAUUUUUAAAAACUCAAAAUAAUGUUUUUGAUGAAUUUCAUGAUUUAGUUUGAUUGUGUUCAUGACCAUUAUGUUAAUGGGUUCUCUUGUUCAUGAUUUAAUUGCAAUAUCUAUGCGAAGUAAAGUGAUAUAUGUGCAGUAUCAUGCAAAACCAUGUUAAACCCUUGAAAUUUGUCAAUGGAAAUGUUAAUUAUGAUGCAUAUUUGUUGUAUAGGGUUAUGUGCAUAUGUUAUGCUCACCAAGUGUUUGAUAAAUUGCUCAUGUGAGUUAAUAAGUGAAAGAAAUCUUACCAUGCUAGUUAUGUGCAAGUUGUAUCAUGCAAGUGUUUGACAAAUUGUUUAUGAGAAUGAAAUAAUGCCAUGUUUUAGUAUGACAAUACAUAUUCCCCAUUCAUGUACAAGUAAUGUAACUUAAGUGGUUGUUAAAAUGUCUAAAUGAAUGAAAGAUAAACAUGUAGCCAUAUUUUUAAGCUUGUGCCAUGAUUUACUUAUUAUACUAUCGAGUCCUGGGAGUACUUGUACCCGACAAUUUAGCUGUGUGCCUAGAGCCAGUGCUAGUUUUCAUGAUACUCACAGUCAAGCCAUGAUGAGUAAAACUUAGUCAGUCAUGUAACUCAGGAAAAAUUUAGUAAAUUCUGUAUCAGUCCAGUAAUUUCAGUAAUCUCAGUCGAUUAUCAGAUCUCAAUAGUAUUCAGUUCAGACCUCAAUAACUCAGUCAACUGGCAGAACUCAGAAGCAUUCUAUCAGUUAAUAGAAUUCAAUAGUAUUCUGUCAUUCCAUGGAAAUUAGUAAACUCAGUUCAAUAAAUUAAAAAUGUACCAUCUAUAACAGCUCAGUCAUGCCUAGUGUGAACUAGGAAAACCAGUUCAGUGUCUAUUUAUUUGGGAGUAGGAUCCAACACCGAGUGAACCUGGUGAUAAGGGCUCCCCUAUUAUCCAGUAGAUGGUGUGCUCCGUAGUAGCAAUCCCUGCGUUCCAGAAAUACGUAGCCAGUAUAGGUUGAGAUGUACCCCUACGAGUCUAGGGACUAUGCAUCUUCUUUUAGUUUUCCUUUCGGAGGGGUUGACGGAAGAGCUCCCUGUCAGGGAGGGUUUGCUCAUAGCUUUUCUUUAACCGUGGCACAAUACUGACACACUUCCAGCUGGGGUUACAGGUUGGACCCCAGCAGUUCAGAUUCUGGGCAUGUCGGUUAGAUGAUUACCUCCUAUAGUCUCUAUUUCAAAUUCAAUCUCAGUAAUAGAACUUAGUUUAGUUCUACAGAUAUCAAGACUAUCAAAUAUAGUCGCUCAUCUUAGUAUGAAACUCAGCUAGUUCUAUUAGAAUUAAGACUAUCAGAUACAAUCAUCCAGUUUAGUCUAAAACUCAGAUAGUUCUUCAGAUUCAGGACUGUCAGAUACAGUUACCCAGUCCAGUAAAGAACUGAGAUAGUUUUUUUAGUAUUAGUAUACUCAGUUAUCAUUUAUCAGUAAUAUAGUACUAGCAACCUCAGAUAUCAGUUACCUGUAAACUCCAUAAUUCAUAUCAUCAAUAGACUCAGUUAUUUAGUAUCCCAGUAUUAGUAAACUCAGAUGACAGUACAUUAGUAUUUAGUACUGUCACUAUCCCAGUUCCAGUUUAUGUAUUCAUGCAUGUAUUUCUCACGCAUUCAUAUUCAUGUCAUCAGUUAGUUAUUAUUGUGCAUGCAUAUGAACCCUUGCAUUCAUCUUACCUCAUUUGCAUACCAGUACAUUUAAUCAUACUGACGCAUUCGUGAUAUGGUGUUUUAUACCAUAGGUUUAAAAGCACGAGCUCCCCAGUAUAAUUAGUAGAUCAGACGUUCAACAGCCAAACGAAUAAUGAGUCCUCAUCAUUCGAGGAUAGCAUGAUUAUUUUAUUACUUUAUUAUUUUAGUAGUUUGGAGUUAGUUUGGGACAUGUCCCAUCAACUCCAUCAUUUUCAAAAAGUCUAGAUUCUUUCAGACUACAACAUGUUUCAG
Molecule: long non-coding RNA, 81656 nt
Filed under: Capsicum annuum
Lineage: Eukaryota; Viridiplantae; Streptophyta; Magnoliopsida; Solanales; Solanaceae
Description: long non-coding RNA (CANN_LNC020782)
Source: RNAcentral